CUUGGCAAUAAAGAUACCUAAGUGUGUUUAUAGCUGUUGUGGACCUUUGUAGGUAUCUAUUUACUUCUAAUAUGUUCUGGCAUUUUCAUUUGAAGACUAUUUUAGUGAGAUCUAGUAUUUGCAACUAGAUCGCAGUGCAUGACGAAUUAUUUUCUUAUAUUUCUUUACCACACAAUAAAACUGAAUAUUUUUAGUUCAGCUGCAGUGCUCUAAAUUCAGAUUUUUUAAAAAUGCCACUUACGUAUACCCCUGGUGUUCUAGGCGCCUCAAAUAAUCUAAAGAAAAUAGAUAAUAUUUGUUCACGAUAUCAGACGAAUGACGAUUAAGAACUGUCUGAAGGCAAGAUACAUCUCAAAUCGUGGUUGGAGUAAUGACUUGGCAGCCGUUAUUAUAGACAAUGAAUUACUGAUAAUAGGUAGUUAAUCGAGAACAAUUCGAAAAACAACUCAACAACAAUUCAAAUGGAUAAGCAAGUAUGUACCUACCUAUAUUUAUGUAUUUUUAUUUUAAAUUAAUUUUAGAAUUGAAAUCUAAGGUACAAACUGAUGAUUGUAAUUUAAAAUUUAAAUUUCGUAAAACUUUUUGUAGCUUAUAUAUACAUCUUACUCCUAUACAAUAUUACCUGCAUUAUUAUAUAUUACUAUAGACAGAUAGGUGGGUACCUGGUACAUUAAAGUGUUAGCUACCGUUAGCUUUAUCUGAAAUUUAAACAUCAAAAUUCAAGAUUUAGGUUUUUAUUUUACGUUUUAAUACAGGGGCUGUGAUAAGUAAUAUAUUUGCGGCAUAAUAUACUCGCCAAUUGUUUUUUUUUUAUAAAUUUAGGUUGAACUCUGGCUGUGUAUUAUUAGAUAAUAAUUAUUAAGAAAGACAAUUACAUUAAAAAAAAGAGAUAGUUACAAUAAUUAUCUAUAAUCAAUAGAAAAUACUUUUAGGUGACUACUCGAUUUUAAUUUCAUAUCCACUUAUUACGAUUUUUAAUUUUAUUUCCAGACGAAAAUAUGCUUGUAUGUUGGAUAGGUAAAGAUUGUUUCUUUUAGUAUGCGUAGUCGUGGGUGUACAAAUAUUAAAUUUUUAACCUGUUGUUCAUUAUUUAUAAAGGUAAAUUUGUAUACAUAUAAGAACGUUCCUCAUUUCUUGGAGUUGAAGGUUUUUAAGUGAAAAAACCAGUUCCAAAUAUUUUUAAAAAGAACCUGUGAAUUAUUCAGAAUUUUAUUUCGACGCAAGAUGGCGCCUCAUGAUAUGUGUUUUUACAUUUAAGACUUAUAUUUAUUCCUAUACGCUGCAGAAAAUAUCUGAAAAAACUUCAAGCUGCAGGUAGAAAUUGACUAGUUAACAACUAUUACCUCUUUCUAUGAGGGAGGGGGAAAUUAAUUUUGACAGAAAUGCACAUGUUUUUGUUUUUGUUUAUUUUCAAAUUUAUGUCUUUUAUAUAUUUUGCCACCUAGUGUCAAAAUAAAAAUCUGAUCAAAUCGUAGGAUUUUAGAUUCUGAGUGGAGCGUAUAAUGUAUUGGUUUUACCAAGAUGUAAAUAUUUCUGAAAGGAAAUUUUCUUGGGGUGGUACUUUAAAGAGGUCAUUUUUAAAUUUUCUCAUCAAAUGUGAAGAACCAAACAAAAAUAGGAAAAUUUACGAAGUAUAUUAGUAAAAUAUUAUGAUUUUUUUUUCUGUGGACAACUUUUCUACCAGCAAUUUUGCUCCGAUUUACAAUGGCUGCACUUUUUCUAAAAGGAAAUCUGAUUGGGAAGGUACUUAAGAAGGGUUAAUUGUUUGAUUUUCCCAGGAUUUUUUCAUAAAACGUGGAAAGCGGGAAAAUCGGUACAAUAUAUUAACAAACAUUAUCAAAGAAAAUAUAUUAUGCUUAUUUUAUUAUUUUAUCAUAAUAUAAUUUAUAUAUAUACUUUUGAUAAAGCAUCACUAUCAACCGAAUUGCGCUCAGAAUUACAAAAAAUGAUCUCGAUACUAACAGGAUAAAAUUUCCUUUCUGAAAAGGUGAUACAUCGGAGCAAAAUUUCAGGUAGGAAAGUUGCUUACAGACACACAUAAAAAAAAAAAAAUAAUAAAAAAAAACACAUAAUAAAACCAAUAGAUUUCGCGUUAUGAAUUGAACAUUAAAAUUCUGAAACUUUAAAUUUUUUGUUUUUGUUUUUUUUUUUUUUUAAAAAAAAGUUUUUGAAGGUAAAAUAUACUGUAUUCUAAGAAUCUGAAGUUUUCUAGUUUUUCGGUAGUAACUUCUUUAAUAAUGAUUUCCGUGAAAAAUUCCAAUAUUUUUAAAAUCUGUGUAGAAGAAUACAACUUUUCAAAAAUUUAGAAAUAUGUGAGGGGCGUGGUAAAGUCCUUGUUGCCGCAUUUUUAUGGAUAUUUAUUAUUUAUUAUUACUCUUUUGUAACACUGAAAAAUGUAAAAAUAUUGAUUUUAUAGUUUUAUACAAAUGAAUACAAUUUUUAAUUUGAAUUUAUCAAAAAUUAUUUAACAGAGUUUUUUUGUAAUUCAGUAUGUAGUACAUAAAGUAAUCGUAUAAACCUAAGUUUGUAUUGAAUACUUAGAUUAGCUCUUUUUAGACGUGGUAAAAUUUUCAAUUCAAUCCAGUUAGUUUUUAGCUAUUAAUUCGACAUUUUCGUGUUUUUUUUUUUUUUUUAGUUUUUAUUUGAUUUUUUAUCGGUACAAUUUUUUUGACUUCUCAAAAGGGCUAGACAUUUUGAUACAAGACAGGUUAGGUUCCUAAAAAACUUCUUCUUUUUCACCGAUAGUCGCCUGGAUGUUCACCACCUAACUGAAUAUGAAAUUUUAGAGUCAGAUUUCCUUUUGGAAAAAGUGCUAUUGUUAAAAAUCGAAGAAAAAUCGCUGGAGACAAGUUGUCCACAGAAAAUACAAAUCGUAAUAUUUUACUAAUAUAUUUCAUAAAUUUCUCCGUUUUUCCUCGUUUCUUUGUCGUUUUUCACAUUUGACGAAAAAACUCCCGAAAAAAUCGAAAAAUAACUUCCCUUACGUACCGCUCCAGUCCCCGAGAAAAUUCCUUUCGGAAAAAGGCGUACAUCGUAUACACCGGAGUAAGCUUUCUGGUAGAAAAAGUGUUCACAUAAAAAAAAAAAAAUCUCUGUAAAACUAACACAUCCUUCGCACCACUCAGAAUCGAAAAAGGCGGCUUUACCGUGGGUUACAUUUUUUUACACGCUAUAGGUUAUCUCUGAAAAAAAAAGACCGGGGUCGCUACAUAUUUUUCGAAUCUCCCUCGGCCGAUCUGCGACUAGUUUUCGCCCGUGACUUUGCGACACCGUCGUAUAUGUUAUAGCAGUAAGGUAUACAACGUGACAUUACACAACACACAAAACGUGAUAGUAAAACCACUGAAAUUCAGCUUUCUUCUAAAUGCAUAAUAUGUGUAUUUCUGACACAAAACCCCACUGAAAAAAACAUUUUUAUAUUUAAAUAUGAUAAUAGUUAUUAUAAUUCACAAACACUGUGCAGGACACUCUAUACAGUAAAACUGCAUUUACAUUAGUAACAUAAUAUUUUAAUUUAAUUUAUUACGUGUAAACAAUGCGAGGAUAAAAAAAAAAACUAUGAAAAAAUAAAAUAAAAAUAUUUCAGGCGAUUAAAACUAUUCACAUUAUGGCGUGUGGGAAUAUCGAUUAAAAAACAUUUUUACUUUUUUUUUCUCUGUCAAUUAUUAAUACCGCGAAAAAAAUUUAUAAUUUAUUAUAGUCUUAUGGCAUUUCAGUGAUUUUUUUUUUUUUUUUUUAAAUCUCGAGUGCUUUGAGCGCUUCGCAGUUUUUUUCCCAUAGUUUUAGCGUUUUAAAUAAUUCGCAACUCACAUUUCACGAUCUAUGUCUUAAUAUUAUAUUUAUAUACAUACAGGUACUGCAAUGACGUAUUUGAUAUCGUUUCAUCAGUGGUGUGUCCUGCAGGAAUUUUUAACGGGAGGGAAUGCGAUAUGGUGAAUAAUAAUCGCGGUUCAUGAAUAAAUCAUGGUAUCUAAUGAUAAUUCUUCCUUUAUAUUAUUACCUGUCCUGAAAAUUUAAAAUCCGUGUUCAAAAGACCAAAGUCCUUUGUGUCAUGUAACACUAUGAUAUUACUACUAGAGUAGCGAACAACAAUACAAUAAUAAUGUAUUCAUCUUGUCGUAAUUAAUUAUUUAAUCGAAACGGAAGAAGAGUAUUUGCAGGUUACGCCGAACAUUUCAAAACCGAUUGUAUUAUUGGGUUUCUAAACGUGCCUAAGUUUAGAACGCUCUAUAAUAUCCUCGUUGUGUCCGCCCCGUUCGUGUGUAGUUACGGUUGUUGAUUUGGGAUGACGACGUUAUAUUUACACUUGAACCGAUUUUGUGCUGUUUGUUUUAAUAUCAGAGUGUAUUGACCCAUUAUCAAACUUGAAGGCAAGAACGUCGGUCUGUGUUUGUACGUAGGUUUAUUUUUAAAUAUUUUAAUUAUUAUUAUUUUUAAAUUGUAAUAUUUCACAUGCACAUUCACAUUCACUCACUUGAAAAUUAAAAUAUGUAAAAAAAAAAAAAUCAAAUGCACAAAUACACACAAUGUUCUUACUUUGUAUACAAAAAAAAUGUAAAUAUAACGACAUUAAUCAAUUUUACAACAUUAGCCGUAACAUUGUUGUAUUAUUGAAUUUAAAUUUAAAUGCAUAACAUUACUACCGUUAUUAAUUUAAAUAUGAGUAUAAUAAAUAUAAAUUAUAAAAUUAUUUACUAUUUACAUAUACACUAGCCAAUAUUAAUAAAAUAGGUAUUGACAUUUAAAUACUUUAAGAAUUUUAAAAAUGUUCUGUUAACAAUUUACAAAUUAAGAUAUUUUAUUUAAUUAGUAUCACAUAAUAUUUCAGCAUUAUAUACUAGGUUACAAAAUUCUUUGAAAAUUAUGCACCUGUGAAUAUAAUUAUAGUGUAUUGUUUAAAAUAAGUUUAGAAGCCGGAAACUUAGUACUCCCGACUUCCCUAAAUUUAAAAUAUUAUAACAUAGUUAGGUAUUACUUGCAUUAAUUAUUAUAUACUUAUUUACUUGUUAUGGAUUCGAAACUUAAACUUGUGUAAUACUAUAUAAGUAGUUAGGAUGUAUAAAUAGUGAAGUAUUCUGGGAAGAGAUACCUCCUCUCAAAACAAUUUACUCGACUAUCUUUUAUUAUUGAUAUAUAUAUGUAUAUUUGUAAAUUAGUUUUUAGGAUUACCCAUUCUUACCUAGAAAAAAAAAAUGCAAAAUUUUCGAUAUAUUUCUGGUUUAUACCUUGGUUAUGGAUGGAGCAAAAAUACAUGAUUAAUUCUAUUACGUAUAAAAUAGUUUUAACUUCUGAGAAGCGAGGAAUGUAUUGGUUUUACAAUGUUAAUUUUUUGUUAUUGUGAACAAAUUUUACACCAGAAGUUUUGCUCCGAUUUUCAAGUGUAGCACUUUUUCAGAAAGGAAAUCUGACUGGGGUGGUAUUUUAGGUAGGUUAUUUUAUGAUUUUUCCAGGGUUUUUCAUACAAAAUGGGAAAAAUGAGAAAAUUUAUGAAAUGUUUUAUUUUUGAAUCGUAAAUAUUACGAUCUUCUAUGAACUAAAUUAUCAUGUAUUUCCUACUUUUUGAAUAUUUAUAAUUAAAAUAUAUUAUUUUAUCGUCGUAUGUAUUUUAUUUUCAACAUAUUAUUUCUAUACAUAAUACAUAGAUGAACAUGCAUACUUCACAAAAUUGUCAGACUAUAUGAAAAAAAAAAAAAAAAAAAAUGUUUGUGUGCUUAGAUGAAAAAAAAUAAAAAUAACAUAUAUAUCAUUGUAACCUUAACAAAAAAAAAAAAAAAAAAAUCAUAGCAAGAUAAAUUUAAUAACCGAUGAAAGUUUCGGCGAAAUAAAAAAAAAAUAUCCGUUUUGUUGAAAACGUUGUAAAUUUUAAUGGUUUUUUUUUUUUUCAAUGUUUUUCAUGGCAUAGUUUUUCUGUGUGCUCGGGGAAACUAUUGGAUAAACGACCUCUUCAACUAUUUAUAUUAGGUACAAUGUACAUAUAUAUAUAUCUAGAACAACUCUGCCGUACCGCGGUAAAUGUGUUUACUUUGGAAGAUUUCAGUAGGUAUUCUUUCUUACGACCUCUCAAAAAAAAAAAAAAUAAUGUUUGUGUGCUUAGAUGAAAAAAAAUAAAAAUAACAUAUAUAUCAUUGUAACCUUAACAAAAAAAAAGGUUUGUUUUUUUUUCGCGGGAAAGAAGGAUCCGGGUAUAUUUAAAAAAAAAAAAAACAACAAAAUAUAUUGAAAGCAACGAUAAAUCAUUCGAAAAACGAUUUGUGCGCAACUCUGUGUGAGUGUAUGUACAAACGUAUAUUAGGACAAGGUCCGUUUUCGGUAUAAUAUCUUAAAAAGGAUAUGGUUAAAUUGAUUUGGGUGUAAAAAGCGGCCGUGUCGCAUGUCUGCAUUUUUAGCGUUAUCGUUUAGAUUUUAUUUAUUAAGAUCGAAAAUAGGUCAUUUUCGGUUUUGUUUCGUUUUUGUAUUUUUUUUGUUUAUUUAAAAUAUGAAUAUUAUUCAAGGAGAAAAGAAAGGAGUGUAUAAAAUACGUAUCGAAUAAAAAAAAACGUCAAGUAAACACAUUUCAUUUUUUCGGCUUUACGAUGACGACUAGAUUGCAUGUACUGCAAUUACAUCUACACCUAUAAUUAUAAUAAUAUUGUUAUCGUCUACAACUUAUAUAACUAUAUACACCUAUAUAUUUUUAUUUUAUGAUUUUUCGGUACCUACUAUAUUAUUACAUUUCGCCCUAUGUGUAAUUUAUAAGAUAUAAAACUAUAAUUUCGGAAAAAAAAUUUCGCCUUGACCUUCACAAAUCAAUCGCGAUCCCGAGUGGGCCGCUAUUCUGUUAAUAAAACUGCUCAAAGUAUAAUGCGCUCACUAUCGGCUCACUUUCUUGGCACAUUCCUUAUAAAGUACGUUCCUUUAAAAGUAUGCAGAUUACGAAAUGUCUGGAGGUGUCGCAUUUGACUUAAGUACUCGUCGUCCUGCAGUCUUCGGUAUAUUUUCAAUUCGAUUAACAUCCUGAGUUUUUAUCAUCAGACGAAGAAUUUCGUUACAAUUUUCGCAUAUACAAAACAAUAUAAUAGUAAUAUAUAGUUCCUAAUAUACAGCGUGUCCCACUAUGUUCGACAGAUUUUUCUAGAGCUGUUUAAAUUAUACAUUUUUAAAUUUCACGGAUUUCCAGAUAAUUCCAGUUAUCAGUUAAUAUCACUUAUAUAAAAAAAAAAAAAGUAUACUUCUACCGAAAAUACAGGAAUAAAUGCUAACUCCAGAGUCAAGUACCAUAUGCACGCCAAGUAUGCCAAGUACGCGCGCACUUUUUAACGAAACAUAUUCUAAUAGACCGCCGGGUGAUUCUUCUGUAUAUUUACUUCUAUAAUCGUACGCAUAACUUAUUCAGUUGUAUCGUCAUAAUGUUGUGUUUGAAAUUUAAAUACGACAUUUAACGCUGCAAUUAUAAUAUAAUGCGCGUAGAAUAGUAUUACGUAAUUUCAUAUGAAUAAAAAGUACAUCAUUUAUACAGUAUUAUAAUAUGUAACUGGCUUAUAACUGUACAGUCAGGAUUACUGAAUAGGGUUGAAAAAAUUGGGUUGUUUUGUAACGAUGCGAAAAAUAAAAAAUAAAAAAAUACGUUAAUAUUAUGUCUCUAUACAUUUCUCGAAUGUCUCGUUUUUAAUGGUUAUAGAAUUCUUUUUAAAAUUUAUGUUUUUACAUUUUCCGUUGAGUGUACAUAAUAUACGCGUAUUGUUCUGCGAUUAACACAAUAAUAUAUAGAGACCGCAGUGUACAUUCAAAAUGAUUUCACAUAAUGGUAUGAAUAAAUGACACAUAAAUCACAUAUAUUAUAUAAAAUGAAUACCUAUAUAGUUUUAUCAGCUGGUAGCGACCCGUAAAACGGAAUGAAUUAAUCUUAAAUUUUUCUCGAGGCUAUUGAACGGCACGCAAAACAAAAUGGAUGUCUCAACAAUAAUUUCAAAGUUGAAUUUUAAUCAUCAUCUAGCUAUACAAAUAGUUUGGUUCCUUGGUGGCUCACAACUCUUAACCCACUCUUAACACUCAACUGAACAAUAGAUACAAAAACCCCACUCCUUGAAUUUCCUUUAAAGACCAAAGGCGCAAAUAAGGUGGAACAUAAGUUUAUCUUCUUUCCGAAUCCAUGAAAUGUCCGCGCACUAAUGUUUCCAUCGAAAAAACGGUUUCUCGUAGUCCCGUCAUAAAUUGGUUUUGCUUUGGUUCCCUUAAACUGUGAAUAUGGUUUAAACCGUAAACACGGAACACUGCGAAUACUGAUAAUGCACACAUAAUAUUAUGAUUUAUAAUCAUAAUUAUAAUUAUAAAUUCGAUUCUUACUUCUCUACUCUAAUCUUCCGAAAAUCUUAAAGGCGACUGCCUCUCAAAUAACCGUUCGCCACAUUGUCCCUGGUCGGUAACACUGUAAACUGAAAUGUUUUCAGUGAAAUAUACGUAGGCAAUUAACGAAAACUCAAUAAUAAUAUUUAUCGCUUGUAAUACUGUAAAAUAUUAAUACGUUUUACGAUCCUAAAAGUAUUGUUAUAGUUGUCUUGAUUUUGUCUACUGCAAUCUAGCAUUUUAUAUUUUCUUUUGUUUUUCUUCGAUUUUUUCAUUGAAAAAGUUUUACGAUAAAAUAUAAAUGUAUUAUAUCUAUAUCUGUGUAUUAUAUGAAAGGUUAGCGAAAUAUAUAUUAUACAUGUAAUAUAUUUAUACUAGUCUGGUGAAAAUAUUUCAUUAAAACCCGUCUUUCGAAUGAAAACAAUUUUCGAGCGAAAUCGCGGGGGGGAAAAAAGUAUACUCGGUGAACACUUUUCCUAUAUAAUAUUAUUUCAUAAAAUAUGCGAUGUACUUACCUCCGUUCCGUUAUUGUGUGUGUUUACGUGUAUAUAUACAGAGUGUCUCACGAUUAUCCGCAACUUGAAAUUUGCAACUUUUGUUCUAUUCGAUAUUUUAUUUUAAAUAAUUAGUAUGCCUCAGCACUACAGUUUGUGUCUGAACAUUUUUUUUUUUAAGGGAAAUGGGACUUAAAAUAAACAUUUUUAAAGUUUUACUAUAAUUUUUUUAAAAAAUUCAGAAAAGCCAUUAUGUAAGAUAGAUUUUUAGAAAAUUUUUGGUGGUUGAAACUUUUGUUCAAUUAUGGUCUUUCAUUUUCUACGAUUUUUUUGAAAAUUUUAAUAAUUUUCUCUUCAAUCAUAACAAUAUUGUUUACCAACAUGUAUGACCAUUUAUCUACUACCUAAUACCCAUAAUAUGAUAAUGUUAUUGCAUUAUAUUAACUCAUGGAAAAGAAAACCCUUGUUAUGUGUCCUGGCUAAUAACUGAUGAAAUAACCACAAUAGGUAAUAUUUAUGUUUGCAAAACUUCAACAAAUCGUAGAAAAUAAAAGAUCAUAAAGAUUCAACCACCAAAAAUUGUAUAAAAAUUAUUUUACAAAACGACUAUUUUUAAUUUUUUUUAAAAAAUUAUAGUAAAAUUUUAAAUGUUUUAUUUUAAGUCCCUUUCCCUCUAAACAAAUAAAAUAAAAAAAAUGUCCACAUAUAAACUGUAGCGCAGAUGCAUAUUAAUUAUUGAAAAAAAAAAAUAUGUCAAAAAUAUCGAAAAGAACAAAAGUUAUUUCAAGUAGCAGAUCAUCGUGGGACACCCUGUAUAUAUAUAUGGUACGCGGUUUUACAACACGCAGUCUUUAAUCUCGCUUUGCAGUUUAUACGUUUAUGCGGAAAUAUCAUCUGGGAUACGUGUCGGGUUUCUGUAUUUUGUAUUAAACAAAUCUUAGCGCGAAAAUGAUUUAUGCGUCUACGCUGGGCAUGCACAUUUAUAUCAAAUAUUUCGCGGGUUGUUAUACCAAAAUAUUACUCGCUCGGCUCGAUAUUAUAUACGCGGCACCGUACAAUUUCGUAUUGCCAUGCGGUUUUAUAGCUGCGUGUUGUACAAUAUACGCGGUUUGUUUAAAAUAAUAUUGUUUUCCCGAUGCGACAGCCGCCGGAUAAUACGAUACAAAAUUGAUGACGUAUAUUCGGUGUACAUAAGUAAUUUUUAUUUACGCCUUUCGUUUAGGUUCUCGUUUCAAUUGUGCGCACAACGAUUUUAUUGCUAUGAAAUAUAUAUAUAUAUACAGUGUAUUGUACGUCUUACUAUAGUUACUGCUCGCGAAAACAAAAAUAUCAAACAAACCUUCCGCCCUGAAGAACUGAUGUUAUUACUGAUGGGCGUGCCACUGUUAUGCAUAGCGAGAGGUGGGAAGUGGGUUACGCGGAAUACGUAAAGUCAUUUGAUUUAUAUCUGUACGCGACGAUAAAUUAUUGCAGAAAUGCGAUUCUGAGCGAACUUCGGUCAAACAUAUGUUUCGAAAUGCCGUCGUUUUUACGAUUUUCGUCAAAACGACGUUGAAUUAAAAUGAUGAUAAAAACAAAACUACUGCAACGUUAAGCUCCACUUUUUUAUUUGACCGUUAACGCGUGUGUGACUUAUAAUUUACCCCGUGUAAAAUGUGUAAAAUGAAUAGCUCAAAAAUAGCCAGAUUCCUUUGAAUAUUUGAUCGCGUUUAAUAUAAAGGCUAUAAUAUAUAAGUAUUCUGUCUGUCCGCUAUGAAAAAUCUUUAUUCUGAUCUCGAUGAAACUUUCCACACUCAACAUUCAAAAUAAUUAGAGGUAAAUUGGCGUUUAAUUUUUAUCACGAAAUUUAAACCGUUAAAGGGGUGGAUCGUAAUUGGUUUUGAUAUUUUAAUACGGACAAAUUGUAUUUAUUCGGCUGGUUUUUACCUAGGUUGUCUCGGCGACACGGACGAAGUAAAAAAAGAACAGUUAUUAUUAUUUAGUUAAUCGGUUGUCCAAACAAAAAAGUAUCACUUUGUCCAUUAUUUUUAAAAGACAAAUUAUCAACAACGUUGGUUAACAUUGAUUGGGAUAAGGGUGGAAACGAGGAGAAACGUUCAAAUGAAUUUAUUUUAUUGAUCGCUGUUUUUGAAAGAAUUGAGUCCGGGUAAUACUGGGUAAUUAAGACAAUAAUAAAGGAAGAAUAAAUUUAAAAAAUGACUAUACCAAAAAAAUUAAUUAAUUCCGAAAUUCGCAUUACAUAUAUUUUUUUUAAAAAUAAGGUUUAAUAAUUAAACAAUAUAAUCCCGACAGUUAAAGAAAAAGAAAAAUACAUAGACCAUACCCGAAUUUUAUUUUGUUGAUUCUUGACAGUUACUUUAUCGAGCGACAAUGGGAAAAACAUGCCUAUUGACUAAUAUACUAUAACCUUACAAAUUUGCCAAGCACAGCUCAAAACAGUAUUUUAAUUGAAAUUAUUUAUCGCUACUUUCAGUAUGUAAUCUAAAUCAACCUAAAUCUCACAUUCUUACAUAUGCUUAUCAAACUUAUCACCCACAAAUAUAAUAAUAUGGGUAUAGACUACUGCCUAUACCCAUGGUACGAAUUAUGUCUGGCUUUUUAAAAAUUUAUUUCUACACUGAAAAAGUUUUUAAUAUUAUACAUAUAUUAUUCGUGUACCCUCUGAGUAAGCAUACGGGCGUGAAAUUGUCCUCCUCUCGAUUUUGUUCUAUAAGUAGGAACUCUUCGUACCAAAGUCAAUAUUUAGCAACCUUUUAGAAACUAUAUGUAUAUUGCAACCGACUUGAAAAUAUUUACAAUCUGAUAGGUUCUUAUAUACUUAUCAAAUUUAUACGAGAGAAGGGAGGGGAGAAUUAAUAAUUCUCGGUUAUAUGUAUGAAGGAAUAUAGAUGUUAUUAUAGAAUGGGUAGCGGUUAUAUAGAGGUAGGUAGUAUUUCAGAAAAUAAAUUAUUUUGCACUUAAAUUUAAAAAAAAAAACUCGUACAUUUUUUUUAGCAAAACCUACUGCAAAACAAUAAUAAAAACAGCUGAUACUGGGGACGGGUGCAGCUACUGUUUUUUGUGGGUAUUUGGGAAGGUAUAGAAUACAUAUAGAGUUAUUUAAUUCAUAUCUAUACGCAAACGAAAAAUGAUUCGGAGCGAAAUUCGAUAAGACAUAUUUUGAAAUGUCGUAAUUUUACAAUUUUCAUCAAAAUAUGAUGUUAAAAAAGAAAACUAUAACGCAUUAAACACAGAUUUUGUUUUUUAGACCACUAUAAGUACAAUACUAAUAAUGUACCUUGUGUUAAAUUUUCAAGCAUUUAUCUUAAGUUAUAUAAUUCAAAAAAAGACAACUUUGGCAAAUUAAAAAAAAAUUAAAAUAAUAACGUUGAGAGCUGUGGCCAACCAAUCGAAAGAUUGAAGACCUAAAAGAACAAAGGAGAAUAAAUUAUUGUUGUCGUUGUUGUUAUUGUGAAAAAUAUAUUUAUAGUAAACAUUUAAAGACAUUUAACGUGCAAUUCAUAAUGGACACGUUGCGAUAUUCGCUAAUUUUCAGCAAGGGGCCUCGGAAAGACAAGUUUUAAUAAUUAUUCGAUUUAUUUUGGUUUUUUUAUCUUCAUUCAAAAACUGUACACGCUCGAAGUUGUGCCGGAUUACUAGUUUAUUUAUUUAUAGUGUUUGCACGUUAUGCAUUGCGUUUUACGUAGACAAUUUACUAAAUAUGAGGAUGAGAAUACGAAUUUUUAACGUGUAAUAUAGUGACGGAGUUUUGCAGCUCACGGAUGGUUUUUCCCCCUUAUUUUUUACUGAUGAAAUAUUAUAUUUCCGUAACGUCGUCGGUAUUGUAUGUAUUUCAAGUGUGAAGGUCAUUAGAUACAUCGCCAGUGAUUUAUAACGAAAAAAUACAUUUUGCAUAGUACAAAUCGCGCGGUUGAAUAUUUGAUGACUGGCUCUGCAAUAUAACUUCAAAUCGCUCGCGUAUUAUGUACAGCGCAGAUGUUUGUUUGGAGUACAUGUUAUACAUAAAGGGACGGAAAUGUAAAUUUAUUUCAGGAGAAUAAAAAACGGUUGGGCGGGAGAUAACGCGUCGAAACUCGGAAAUUUGGGCGUCGUCGGAAACGAUUUAUAUUUUAUUCGCUGGUAAAUUCGUCGUCGAUUUAUACGCUCGCGUUAACUUUUUUUUUUAUUUAAAAAACUAAGAAAAUUCCGUUGAAAUCUCCUUAAACAGCGAUAUCGCGAUACUUUAUUUUGUAUCGGGAAACUCGUCGUUUUCCGUCUCGGAAUUACAAACAAACCAAAAUCCUUGGUUUUCUCUUAUCUCGUCUAAUUUAUUUCUCUAAUGUUCUGUGGUCCUAGGAUAGAAGGGCUUAUGUCAAUUUGAACGGUUUUCAAUACAAUAAAUUAAAUUAUGCAAUCAUAUACACUUGCGUCAUUCAGAUCAAAAGGGUAAAAAAUUAUUAGAAAAAUGCUUAAUUAAUAAUUGAAGCCCUUCUUCCCUGGGAACAAACGUUUAAUGUUACGACUAAUGUGGAAAAAUUGGAAAACGUCAAAUUUCGAUCAGAAGAACUAAUUUGUGCUAAUAAUUUCAAUAUUAGAGUGAAUAUUGGUUUAUUGAACUAAAAGGUAAUGUUGUGUUUAUUCGAUAUCUUCACUUUUUAAGUAAAAUAUUAACAUUUUACACAUUUUUGUAUCUCGUUAAAAAUUAGAAUUUUUGAAAAAUAAAAAUAUUAAAACUAACAACAUGAAAUUGGUUCUACUGAACGAAAAUUUGAUUAGAUACUUUUAUAUUUUUCAGGAUUUAUUUUCGAUGAAAAUUCCGACGUUCGCUUGCGAAUGUAGGUUGUCGAACUUCUGAAUUCAGUAGCACUCGGGGUACUAACUUCUUUAGUGGUUAUCAGACCCGUAAAACUUAAGCUUACAAAUGAUAGGUAAAUUUUAAAUGUUACCAAUGGAUUAAAAUAAAUUGAAACCCUAUACACAUAACAAUUUUUCGAAAGUAUAUAAUUUAUGUAUCAAAAAAAAAAAGAAAAAGAAAAGAAAACCGAAGAUUUUUCAAGGUAUUUACAUACGAAAAUUUUAAAAGUAUGGGAAACACAAUGUAAUCUUUAUUUUCUAUUAAAUUUUCAACAUUUGCCGUAACAUAUAAUAUUGUGUACCUAUACAGACGACCGAAUACGUUAUACCUAUUGCAAAAUUUAUUAGAUUUUAUCGGCCUUUUUUUUUUUUUUUGAAAAUUUAAGAAACAAGGAGCUGUAAAAUGUUAUACUCCCAUUCUGUAUUGUCACCCUUAUUUUUGAGAGGGCGAAUCGAAUAUCUACGGCCACCUAUAUUAAAAAAAAAACCCAUAAAUAUCGAUGGAGUUUUUAGCCUAAAUACGCGACGACAUGUAGUCGUUUCACCGCCAAAAAUAAGGGCGACAAAAUAUAACGGUAUAGUGUUACCAGUGUUAGAGCCGCUUGUUUAAAAAAAACGUCAAUGAAAAAAAUAGAAUCCCGAAAAAAGUCGCUACGGGUAUAUUUCCGCGGGACACCCUGUACACUGAAAUCGAAACAAAAAACCGUGAUUCGAAUACGUCCCGCGGUAUUCGCAGCCGCGCGAUUAUAGGAGGGACCCGUAAUUUUCGAACCGCCUAAUUGGCAAAUAAAUAAUAGAGACCGUCCGGCCGGGAUCUAAUGGAUGAGUUAACUGAAUUUUGCGGACAGGUGUAGCGGACGAGCCGCGCGCUUACGGGGACGUCAGCCGCACACGCGCGGCAUUCAUUAUUAUUAUACAACGCGGAGACGGUAUUGCGAGUUGCGGUUAUUACGUGACCGCGACGAACGCCGCCGUAAGUGGUGUCGCCCCGUAAAUAUCGUCGGUUACGGCCGCGGUGCGAUAGGUUACCGGUGCCCGUUGCGGUAACGGUAUUUAUUCGCGGCGGGCGAUGAUAAUAUUAUUGUAAUAAUCGUACGGGGCCGGCGGCCCGGGCAGCUCUUGCGCCGCGUUGCGCGAUAACGAACGUCCGGGUACCGUACUGCGCACACACACACACACACACGCACACACACACGCACACGCGUUUGAGCGUUCGUACCCACCCCGCGGCCGUAGCGAACCCGGCGCCCGGGUAAACCGUUCCGCGCGUCCGCCCGCGCGACGACGGCCUCUACGGCUCUACGCGACCCCCCGACGACUCGCCGUUCGGGCCGCGCGCGCGGUGGCCCGUUUCGGCGCGACGGCGGCACACGGCUCUGCUAUUGUAUUAUUAUUAUGCCGUGUAGCGUUUUGUCCCGGCAAACUUCAACCGGUAACCGCGCCGUCGGCGUUCCCCGCGUCCAAAAACAAUAUUGCCGAUCGCGCGCGCGCAUAACAUUAUUACGAUAUUGUAAUUAUUAUACGAGUGGACGCCGAUAAAUGCGAUACGAUGACGUCCGUCAAACUUUUGUGCGGGCCAAUAUUAUACGCAAACGUCGUCGUCAUAACGGCAAUGCGUACCGUCGGCGGCGCGAUACGGACGGUGAUGAUAAUAAUAAUAAUAAUACAGACAGUAAUAACGGGCCGUGGUCGUCGUCGUCGUGUCCGAUCAAUACUCGGCACGCAGUGUCUGUGCUGUUGUAUAAUGCGUUACCGACGCGCGGCAAUCGCCGAUAACGUUUUAAUGCAACAAAAUAUAUCGCGUAGUCGUACAGCGCGCGGUGUUAUUUGUUAUUAUUAUUCGUUUCGACCCGACGCGAAAAUUAAAUCGUUUUCAGACGACGUAAUAAUAAUCGUAGUAUCGUCACGCGACGUUAAUGUAAUAACAGGCCGGGUGCGACCGCGAACCGGCGCACCGGCGACGGGUUAGCUUUUUCGGCGCCGCCGCCGCCGCCGUCCGCCGGUCAUAGCCGCGCUCGGCGAUCGAAUACGGGCGGAGGCGGGAUGGGUCGCCGCCCCUCGUUGUUGCCGUUGUUGUUAUCGUCGUCGUACGGAGGCGGCGGCGGCGACGUGUUCGGGUAUACUCACAGACGUCGUGUACGCGGUGUGCUGAACAUUUGUCAUACCUGAGGCGAAACAAAAAGAAAUUAGGACCCGCCCGAUGGAAACUCGGAUUUUCACGCGCACUACACACGCUAGUUACAGCAACAACUUUAUUAAAGGCGAUCGGAAGCGACGAGUUUGUGGCUUUUCCUAACACGCGCGAAAUACAGGGAUUUAGACGUGUUUCGUUUCCGAUUUACCGAUCGAUCUAGUAAAGCGAUAGGAAUGCUGAAAGCAGAUUUGAAUUUGUCGCGAAGUCCACUUGAAAUCGACUUUCCCACGUUUCUUGAUUGUUUGAUUCCAUUUUCUCAAUUACACAUUUAUUAGUAUGGAUUUUUUUUAGAAUUUAAGGAGAUGAAUUUAAAAAGUGGGAAAGUCGAUCUCGAGUAGACUUCGCGACAAAUUCAAAUCCGUUUCCAGAAUCCUAAUCGCUAGAUCAAUCGGUACGCUGAAAUUAAAACACGUCUAAAUUCAUAUAUCUCGCGUGUGUAAGACAAAGACAGAAACUCGUUGCUUCUAAUCCCCUUAAGCUAUAAUGACUACAUAAUAUAUAGGCUAUCAUAUUCGUAAGUAGGUAUAUUAAUAGGACGGUGUUUGUGCAAACGGGAUCAAGUCCUAUUAAGACCUUAUUAACUUAACCAUACGACCGGGGAAUACUUACAGCCACCGGCGGUUUGGACAUAGUUAUGGCCGUUUAUCGAACCAUUGAAAAUUCGAGAUAGGCGGGCGUUGGGUCGUUCAAAUGUUUACGGAAUCGGUAUGAAAUAGUCGCCCCUUUAGGCGCCUUGAAGUUAGCUCCGCCGAGUUGUGCGAUCGACUUCAAACCGACGUCAAUAUUUUGUAAUUAACACAUAAUAUUAAUUGCUAACCAACGGAGAUAUUUUUCAAAUCAGUGACGUUGGUUCAAAGUCGAUCGGGCGACUUGGCGGGUCGAACUUCAAGGUCGUGUUCCUAUACAAACUUAGAUCACGAAAUACUGUAUUUGUAUACUUUUGAGUUGUGUUUUUUAUCGUAAACAAAAUUAUAGUCGUAAAACGUUUGCAGACAUUUUUUUUUUUUGUGUUGCGUAUUAUACUUACGGGGUGUGCGUAAAUAUUAUUUUAUGCUGCUCAAAUCACCGAGUAAAAUAUCUAGCCAUUUUCCGCCUACAUCGGGACUACGCGUAAAUCGUAACUAUACACACCGGAUUUAUUCAUGCAUGCAUGAAAUGUAUACAGAUUAACGCCUAAAAACGUCAAAAAAGCCCUGAGAAAACUCUACCUAUUAUAAAUAAAAGAAAAAUAAUUUGUUUGAUCAUUCUUGGCGUAUCUUAUACGCCGGAGUCGUUAGAAGGAGUGGACUUUUAAGCCCUUCUACUAUUUUUUAUUUGUAAGUGCUUUAUCGCCGUUUUUAAGCGCUUUUUUGUGGAUUUUAAGUGCAUAUUAUUCCUAGUCCCAAGUCACAUCGCUUGCGCACACACACAAUAAUAUUAUACUGUUAUAGCGAUAUCACUCCGUGAUGUGCUCAGUGACGUAGCCAAAAGGUAUAAGCGUAUUAAGAGGUAGUUAAAUCGGGUUAGCUUUAAAGUUUCUCUUUUCUUCCUUUCCCCCCCCCCCCCCUUAUAAGAAAAUGCGUACGUAAUUAUAAUAAUUAUAAGAUAAAAUCGAGUUUAAGAAAAAUAAUGUAUGCUGAUUAUUAUUUCAAUUUCUUAUUCGCUAUAUUAAAAUAUACAAGUUUACUAAUAUUACGUAUUUUAUGUAUUUAUAUCAGAGUUUUGAGUUUACUUAUUUAUUCAUAACUUAUUAGUUUAGUAUUAUAAUUUAUACGGUUUUUAAAUUCAAUUUAUCGAAACACUUUAAACGUAGGUACUUCGCUGAGAAUUGAUUUUCAUUAGCAAUGAUUUAUUGUUUGGUACGUAUAUAAAUUAAAUUACUCUAUAUAACGUUUUCAUAUAACUUCCUCCCUACAACAAUAGCGCGCCCGUGGUGUGGAGUAUCUCGUUUUUUCUUCAACCCGUUCCAGUGGAUUGCGUGCGAAUUUUCUGCAACUCGUCGACUUUCCCCUGGAGUAUACCGAACUCGUGCCUUCCGACAGCUGUGGGAGUGUACGAAUGAGGGAGGUUGGCGGAUACCUUAUUUUGAUUUACGGGUAAUAAAUCCUUUACACACGGGCACAUCGUCCGAAAUACACGGGGAACACAUUAAAGUUCUGGUAAGCAAAUUUGUGUAUAGAAUGAACGUCACCGAGGUCCCAGUCGGCAGGCACCCGUGUACCAUAUAAUGCAAUAGCACAAAUCUAGUGCUAAUAUUUGCGGCUUAAAGAAAACCUCGCAUACCUAUAAAAAAAAAAAAAUUAUUUGAAAAUAGUCAUUCAAUUAACAACAAAAUAUUUAAUAACUUCGUGAACUGUCAAUUUGUUGGUAUCGAACACGAAACCGCCCAAUGUUCUCAGCCGGUUAAGGUGUUUUGCCGAAAAAACGACGAGAUGGUUAGUUAGGUCGGAUAUGCCCAGCCCACACAACCGUCGGGCAAAACAAUCGGUCAACAACAUUGUUUUGGUGAUCCACUAGUCCAGGGGUCGGCAACCUUUUUUGACGGAAGAGCCAAAAGUUACAAUGUACAAAAUUUUCCAGAUUUUAAAGAGCCACUAAAAAUUUUCUUAAGUAUUUAAAUAUAAUUUUAUUUUUAAAUUUUAAUAGACAUAAUAAUAAUGAAAUUAAUUAUAAUAAUAUAAUAAAUUUAUGAUAAAAAAAAAAAAAAAAAAAAAAACAGUUUUUAAUAAUAGGGGAAUACAUCAAUGGCAGCAUUGGCUUUGCAUGUCUUGGCGUGACGGCGUAUGACCAAUUAGUUGUAGAUAGCGUCGCAAUUAUAUUAGACUCUAUAAUAAACAUUUUACAACUAUAGACUGUACUCCAUGCGAGCACUGUCAAAUUAUUUUUGUGAUGUAUUAUUUCAUAUUUCCAAAAGCAACAAAAAUAAUAUACUUUUUUUUUAUAUUAUAAAAUAUUGUUUUUGAACUAAAAUAUUAAUUAUUGUGUGUGCAGCUGGAGAGCCGCAACUUUAGACCGAAAGAGCCGCAGGUUGCCGACCCCUGCACUAGUCCAUAGAAAAUGGCCGAUUGAUAGAUAAUCUAUUAUUACCGUAAUGUUGGCCGCAAGGAACGAUACGGUGAUUUUACGUAUACCCGGGUACGCAAUACAAAAUUCUUUUACAGUCGGAGGCCAAAAACCCAAAUUUGACCCAACUUGGGUUCCAAACAUUAAUCACAUUUUUGGCCACUUUGGAAAAAUAUUUUUUUACUGUUGCAAGAUUGGCAUAGUGAGAUUCGUCGUAAAUUAGAACACAAUAAUCAAUUACAAAAAUCACAAAACAUUUAAUUAAAAAAGAAUAAGAAUGUAUACAAAUUUAACUUACCAAGUACCGCCCGAAUCGCAUAUGAGCCCGAAACCUUGCCCCUAAAAAUGUGGGCUGCCUCGUCAUAUCCUUGUAAAUGGGUAAUUUUACGGGUGGUCAUGUUUUAAUCCAUGGCCGCCUAUAAAAUGGCAAUACCUAUGCAACAAAAAAAGCCUAUAAAACGAAAUGGCAGAACCAAUUACUGGACUGCCAUGCAAAAAGUGGACCAGUCCUCUCUAUAAACAUUCAAAGUAGCGUCGUCAAUUUCUGACUGAAAAACGUAUUUUUCUAUCUUGUUUUUAUUUAUUACGUUAACGCGUGUUCCUUAGUCAUUUAGAAUCUAAUUUCGUUGAGAGAUUGGUGUUUUUGGCCAUUUAUCAUAAAUGCAAUCGAUUCGUAUUUUCUUAUGUUUUUAAAUCUUCUUUAUUAACUAAAAUACACUAAAAUAACAAUGUUUCUAAAAUGAAAUUUCACUAGAGGUACUUUAGUGAGGUAAUUUUUUAAUUUUCCCAAGAGUUUUCCCAGAAAAUGUGAAAAAUCGGGAUAAAACAUUGGAAAACCGGGAAAAACGUAGAAAAACUGGGAAAACCGGUACAACAUUAAACAAAUAUUAUUAAAGAAAAUAUAUAAAGCUUAUUUAAUUAUUUUACUAUAAAAUGACAUAUAUUGAUGAUAAAGCAUCACUAUCAACUGAACUCCGUUCAGAAUCCUUUUUUUCAUAAGAAAUUGUUUAUCGUUGCUUAUAGGUACACAUUAAAUUAUCUAUAAAUGUGGCUGCACCUUUCCUCGUUAUCCUAUGACGUCUUUUUGUGAACACUUUUUUUACCAGAAAACUUACUCCGAUGUAUGUAUUGUAGACCUUUUUAUGAAAGGAAAAUGUCUUGGGGUGGUACUUUAGGAAGAUUAUUUUUCGAUUUUCCCGGCAGUUUUGCCAGUAAAAGGGAAAAAGUAAGAAAAAACAGGAAAAUAUACGAAAUAUUUCUUGUUAUCAUUAACAAAUAUUCAUAUCCUUCCUCUCCACGACAAAAAGUCUUAGUUAAGCGGUUUAAAUGCGGAUUCGUGCGAUUGAAAGGUUAACACGCGUGAGACCGUAUACAAUGUAUACGUAUGCUAUGUAUACUAUACAUAUAUUAUAGUGUAACGCGGAUUCGCGAAUCACCGGAAUGCAAUUAUGAAACGUCAUGUCGUAUUUUUUUUUUUCCUAGGGUCGUUCGGCAUGCUGUUACGAUUUAACUGUGCCACGGGUCAUAUACCGACGACAACAAUAAUUAUAACAAUGGGUAUUAUGACGUAUAUAUAUACCUGCAUGUUGAAAUCUGGUGGCCGUCGAAAAUCCGUCGACGUUAUUAUAUCCGGUAAAUAUUACGAUCACAAUAAUAAUAAUAAUAAUGAUAGGUACGUUUCCAGUCUUGUCGAGAUUGGUAUUAUUGCGAUAUUAUGCAUAUCGGUUAGUAUGCAUUGCGUAAACGAUUCGGCACCGGAUAUCAUAAUAAUAUUCGGCUGACCGUCAAUCGUCCCGGGGCAUUAACGAGUUAAUGGGCACUCGCGAGUAGAGGCCACGCCAGUUUUAAUCGCGUAAGGCCGGAUUUUCGUUGUUUAUCCUGACAAUUUCGUAGUCGAUAGAAAAAUAAAAACGAAAAUGAAAAACAAAAAUUAUAUUUGAACUGCCGUUCUCGCGGGAAAAUAUUAUACUAUACUACUAUAUACUUACAACAGCGGCUGCUCCCGUUUCCUAAUGUAAUUUUGUUUUUUUAUAAUUCUUGUUUUUGAUCCGAUGAAGACGUUUUAUUUUAUUAAUUUUUUUUAUUAGAGGAAAUUCCACAAAUUCGGAAGUCAAUCGAGGAAUGACGUUGAUUAUUUUUGUGUUGUAAGUGGGUUUAUUUAUCAUAAAAUUAAAUUUGAUUGCUACUUAUGGGAUAGGUAUAGGUGGGUCCGGGUCUCGUAUUUUCGAAAAGCCAGUAUACCUUCUGUCUUUAUUACAGUAUUUGGUUUUAAUAGGCACCUUUUUACCAAUGACUAUAGAACUUAGGGAUAUAAUGGGAAAAUUUUCAGCUAUCACCAAUAAUAAUUGAAUCAAUAAUAUCAUUUACGAGAUUGGAAUUGUGAGAAAUUCUAUGAUUUUGUUAUCUGAGUUGAUGUGGAAUGUUGUAAAAUAAUAGAUUAGACGCUCGAAAUGUAUGGAAUAUUGCGCUUGGACAUUAAGCUCUUCGGAACAAUGAUAAUCAUUUUUAUUAUUUUCCUUUUGAUUAUUAAAUUCAGAUUAGCAAACGAUUUAUUAAUAUGUUCAACUUUAGAAUAUCGCCAUUGUUGCAGAAUUUACGUCACUGAUUUUGAUAUUAGAUUACUAAUAUUUUUUAUAGUUUUAAGUCAAUGGGGGAGGGGAUAUAACCCCUAACUUCCUUUCCUCUGCGUAUGCCACUGUACACUGUACAUAAUAUGUAUUUAAUAAAACGCAUUUUUGUACUUGGUGUACAUUAUUCGUUUUCUACAGCUUCUCGAAUAUUUUGUAUGACACACUAAACUGCAGUCAUUAUAAUAUUAACGGUCGAAUCAAGUUCAGCAAAUUUUAUCAUUAAGAACUAAAAAUUCUUCUCUUCUACAAAUUAUUGUACUGCAUUAAAACUGCAUUAGUAACUUGCAUUAAAAGUCAUUGUAGUUAUUAACAUCUUUAAUUGCUAUAUGAGCUUCAAUAAUCUUCAGUGCAAUUUUUGAUUGUACUUUAUCUGAUUUAUUUUUAUUUUUAUUAUUUACGACUUGUAACAUACAGACUCGUGGACAGUGGUAACCAAAAUGUUUUUUUUCGUUUACGAUGUGUAAUAUUACUUUGGGCGAAAACCAAAUCAUUAUUUUUUGAGUUUGGGUAAAAAAAGGUCAUUUGGAUGAAAACAGGUCCUCCCUUUAAUACACAUAAAUUAUAAAUGACGACAGAAAAGUUAAUGCAUUAUAACAUUUAGCCAAAUUAAAUGAAUCACGGGGAAAAAUCCGGGGACAAAAGUCCGUUUUAAAAAAGGUUUGAUAAAAAGUCCAGAUUCAGAUUUUAUUGUCGGACAAAAGUCCGAAAAUACAAAAAAUUCUAUUAAAUUUUCAUUUAUAAUUAUACAAUUUAUUGUAUAAUAAAUAAUUUAAUUAUACGGGUUAUAUAGGUAUAUAAUAAUAUAUAAUUAAUAUUAAUUUUGAAAACUGUUGUACAUAUAUAAUAUAUAUUAUAUUAUACUUUUUUUUAACCCGUGUUUUUUUUCCUGUUUUCUUAUUCUUAUUAUUUCGUAUAGCUAACAAAAAUAUAACGGAACUCCACUUUAGUUAGGUAGGUAGGUACCUACCUAUAUAUAUAUAUCAUAUAUAUAUAUAUAUGAUACAUGCGAUUAUCAAUAUUAUUAGCACGAUCAUUAUUUAUGUUGACCAUUUUUAUUUAAAUUUAUGUUAAACGAUUUUUGAAAAAUUGUUUACUAUUAUAUAUUUAUUGUAUAUACUAUAUUGUAUAUAGUAUAUACUAUAUUGUAUAUAGUAUAUACCUAUAUAAUUAUAAAUAACAAUUUAAUAAAAUAUUUCAUAUUUUCCAAUGUUGUCCGACAAUAAAAACCGAAUCCGGACUUUUAGACCGAUUACCAAACUAAAUACCGAAGAUAUUUAAGUUACUGUUAACACGGGGGCUAAUAUUAAUUGUUGACAGUUAAUAUUACUAAGAGCUAACUAUGAGUAUUUCCCAUAAAUAUAAAUUAUCCGGAUCAAAAAAACUCCUCUAAAAUGAUUAGGCACAACGAAUACAGAAUUAGAUUUAGGCAAUCACAACUGCCUGUGAUUUACGAAAUCUAAGUAACACAAUUAUUUUAGUGAACGAAUUCAUGAUGAAAAAUAAUGCCAAAAUACAUUUUUUUAAUUAAACUUUUCCCCUCAACAAGAAUAUAAAAACUAAAAUUAUGAACAAAAAACUGCCACAAAAUACGAAAAUGAAUAAAUACAACACGACUGCUUAAAAGAAUUUUUGAAAAAAAUAUUUGUAUAGAUGCGUCAAAAAUAUUGUAAUGUUAUAUAAUGUUCACACAACAUAACAAUAAUAUAUACAAUUAUUUGCAUUUAUAACAAUGCGACUAAAAGAUUCAAAUGCGGCCAAGUAUUGUUAUUGAUAACGAUUUAAUUUAAUAAAACGUUUGUUGUUCGAGUGUGAUACAUAUUAUACUAUAUUCCUAUCACAAUCGAAAUAUUUUAAAAUGGUCAAACAUAGUAGUGAUUUACGACGUUUGCGUCAGCUUUUUGAGGACACCGCCGCGUCGCCAUCACCAUUCGGUAAUAAUCUUACGAUAUUUCUGCACUAAAUUUAAUUUCAUUAUUAGUCAAUUUUUUAUCGAAACCGACGCGAUGACCAACGGACCCCAUUCAACUCACGAACAAUAACGGUUUUUUUUCCAUUGUUCGGGAGGGAUCUGUCAUGUUACACGCGUUAUUACUACUUCCAAUUGAAAUAUUUCAACACGAGUCAAAUAAAAAUACGACAUUGGUCAGCCCUUUUACGACACCGCCGUCGAAAUCACAGUCCCACACGAAAUACGCCCUUAUAAUUAUUUCUGUACAAAAUUCAAAUCAAUACAACACUGGACCUGACCUUUUGCCUUUUGAAACGAUUAAAAUAUAAUGGUUUUUUUUUUCAUAUAAAUCUCGAGCGCCUCGACCGCUCGACAAAUCCCAAGACGAUCGCUCUUUAGAGAAUCCCGCACACAACAAUUACGCAUCGUCAACAAAAUAGCUGGUCGGGCCGUUAUUUAUUCAUUUUUUUGUGAUAUUAAAAUAUAUUCAAGAGCUCAUUGCAUAUCAGCUGACUUAUGGCAUACACCUUUAUCCAAAGAGAUAUUAAAAAUUUAUGGAGACCAUAUUAUACAUAAGGGGCCAUAAUAUAGCCGAACCGUAUUUUAACCGAAAAUAUUUCAACCGACCGUAAUAAGCCGAAUAUAAAAUUAACAGAAAAUAUUUCCGCCGACAGUAUUUUGGCCGAAAAUAAAACAAACGAACGUAUUUCAGCCGAAUUGACCGAAACUAUUAAUUAUUAACUUGUAAAUUUCUUGUCAUUGUUUUUAUCAGAAAAUAUUGAAUUAGAAAGCUUGGAAUUUUAAAUGAUAUUUCGAACAAAAGUUGAAAAAUUUGAAAGAAUAUACAAAUUUUUGAGUUAUAAUUCCGACACGAUUUUGAACAAAUAAAAAAAAAAAUUAAACGACAUUUUGAAAAUUGUCUAUGAUAAAAAUAUAUAUUAUUUAAUUAAUUAAUUUUAAAUUAUUAUUAUUUUUAAUUUCAACCAUUUGUAAGCAUUUAAAUUAUUCAGGUGUGGAUAAACAUCCACAUGUUGGAUUUAAUAUCAAAACCAGUGGCGCUGAAGCAGUAUUAAAAUAGUCGGGCAAACUUUCCAAAAUAGGUAAUACAAACCACCAACCACCUAAACAAUAUUUUCAGGAACUCAUGGGUGACUUUGCUACCCAUACUCUCUCCCUCGCCCUGCAUUGAUUUUCUUCUAUUUACAACAACACCCAUUUUUUAUAUAUUUUUCUUACAAUUUAUUUGUACAAUUUCAAUACGUUAUACUAUACAAAUUAACAAAAUACAUAAGUCGUACUAUGGUAAUAUAAUAUAAGUUAAUAAUAAUUUAUAAUAUUAUUUAACAAAUUAAUAUAAUUAAUAGCACAAUAAUAAAAUAUACCUAGUACAGUAAAAAUAAAAUGAUUAAAACAAAUCCAAAAAAGACGGAUAUACUUUGCAUGUGGGUGGGUCACUGUUGUAGGUAAGAAGUUGAGAAGGUAAUAGAGGGGAAAUUUAAUGUAUAUUUGUACGCAAUGAUUAACCAUUGCUAACGAAAAACGAUUCUGAGCAGAGUUUGGUCAAUAGUGUUACUUUUUUAACAAUAUAUUUGUCACAUUAUGAUAAAAUACUAACAUAUUAUGCAUUAUAUUAUACUUGUUUAAUAUUGUGUUUAUUUUCCAUUUUUUCCCAUUUAUUAGGAAAACUUUUUCAAAAUUUUGGGAAAAUCAAUAAAUUACUUCCUAAAGUACCACUCCAGUCAGAUUUCUUUUAGGAAAAAAUGCUAUUAAUAUAAUACUUACGGAAUACUAAUGUAUACCUACUAUGUAAAAAGUUAAAAUAGGUACUUAUAUAAUUAUCUACUUUUUUAAUUAUUUUCUAAUCUUGAACGUUUAUUUUUGAACAAUUUCCUUAGUUUUUAUAAUUUAUACAGUUUAUUCAUUUUUCACGGUCGUAAUUUAUGUUAUAGCUCUAAUGUGAGAAUAUCCUAAUGAGUAAUGACUUAGUACCACGAUAUUGAUGACAUUUUAUCUGCAUCGUGAUUGGUACUUACUGUCAUUGAUUAUAAAUCAAUAGGUAAUCAAUAGUAAUACCUAGGAUAAUUAUUGUACAAAUUAAAUUUGCGUGGGUUAUAUUUGACUAAUUACUACAGAAUUUUAAUUAUGUAUAAUUUGAUAAAAUAUAUGAUCGUCUAAACCAUUUUUCAAACAAAUUUUCAAAUUUUGCUGUGAAUAAAUCUUUAAAUAACUUGAUAGUCAUUAAUCUUUCCGCCAACGACCAUACCACGUUGAAUACACCAGUUCUCGUCCGAUCACUGAAGUUAAGCAACGUCGGGCGUAGUUAGUACUUGGAUGGGUGACCGCUUGGGAACACUACGUGCCGUUGGCAUUUUUUUGCCUAUUUUUUUCUCUAUUAAUUCUUUCCAUUUUUUCUCCGACAAAAGUGAAAACCACAUAGUAUCUACCAAAUAAAAAUUACGUAAAACUCAUAAGGUAUUUGUCAUAAGUCAUCUUUCAAAAUUUCAAGUUUUUAAGAAUAUUUUUAACGGAAAAACAACAAAAGAACAAAAUUGAAAAUUAUAAAUAUUUAAAUAAAAGUAUUAUUUUCGUAAAUUUUCCCGUUCUUUUUACGUUUUUUUCCUAAUAAUUAAAAAAAACUACAGAGAAAAUCUAACCUACUCAUCAACAAAAUUAAAAAUGUAACAAAAAAAAAGAUCUCUUGUCAUUUUUCUAUUAGAGUCAAUAUUUCUUGACUUAACUUAGACUUGGCCAUACCAAAAUCCAUAACACAUAAUAACCUAUAUAAUAAAAAACAAUUAGAUAAUUUACAAAACAUAUUAUUAUAACCGUAAGAAAUUGACGCAGCACAAAAGCAAUAUAAUCAAAUAAACGAUUGGAUUCAACAUUGUGGAUCAAGGACUCAUAGAAUUAGAGCCAUAUAGACGAAGGCGUCAUAGAACGUCUGGUUGAAGAGAAACUCACUAAAAUGUGGGACUGGUUCGUAGGUUUUGGAUAUCAGUCCUACUUGCCACUUGUCAUAUUUCGCGUUCGGAAAUUAUUAACUAUGUACGUCUAAAUUCAAUAUUAAAUAUGUCCAUACUAUAUCAAACUUUUGGAUAAAGCUUUAUCCAAAGAUCUAAGAUCUAAGGUUUUAGCUGGUAUAUUUUUUGGUUUAACGCAAUGUGUUAUGCACAAAGCGCACAAUAAAAAACAAAUAUAUGAAAUUCAAACCGAAAUAAAAUUUACCAACCACAGUCCGAAAUUCAUCAUUUGAUGAUACCAAUCCAAAUAUACCAAUCCGAACUUCGUAAAAUAUACCCAUCAUUAUUAAAUUUAUAUCGUCCUUCGAAUAAUAUGUAUAACAACGAAUAAAAAAGCAACAAUGUUACCAUGUAUACCAAUGGUAUACACAGAAAUCGAACACAACAAAAACAUUUUUUAGUAACAAUACGAAACAUCAACCAAUUUACCGAUCAUACACACACAGAAGCGUACAAUAUGGCGAAUUCCGUCAAUAAAACACAUUUUAUGCACGUAGUGUUAUUUAUCGAACUUUACCUACCCGUACCCGAUUGACUAUUAUUAAAAACCGACCCAUACUAUCGUAACAUUCCGUACUUACACCUAUACUGACGUAAACCUAUAUAAACACGGCGUGCCUGCAUAUUUUAUAUACACAAAUAAGUGCUAAGGUAUAUAUAGGUAUAUACCUAAAUUCACGGAAAUAAAUCCCUCGAGCAUUUGUCACUAACACUCCUAUAGUUUGAAGCGAUAGCUAUCGUACAAGUCGUUUUAUCAAACAAAAUUGUCACAAAUACCUCAUAGAAAUCUGUGAAUUUAUUGUCUGAAUUUUCCAAUAACUGCAUGAAAAACGCGUAACGUCAGUAUAACAGAACAAUUUACGAACUAAAAAUUCGACCCGCGCAAACAAUAAAAAUUAAAUUUCGCUACAAUACAUCUCUACAAUCCAUGUUACAAAUCUCGUAAUUCAUUGUGUAUGUCAAUUUGAUAUACAGCUUUUUGACAUAGAAUUUGAACAAUCUGUAAUUUAAAUUUCAUUAUUGGUGUAAGCAUAUUGACUAAAUUGUUUAUUUUUGUUAAUAUAAAUUAUUGAAGCUAUUUUGGAGACCUGCAUUUUUGAAAAUUGUUGGUAUUUACAGAUUUAAUAGAGUUAACCUUUAUAAUGUCGGCGCGUGAUCCCGUGGCCUGUGUUGACGCAUAAUGAAAUCCGCGCGGUCACUGCCAUUCAUACAGAUAAUGCGUCGUUUUAAUACUAUAUUAAUAAUAAUACGAACACCAAUACAACAUAAACGCGUACUUAGAUAUGUAGGUAUUGUAGAUAUACGAAUCGACAAUACACACACAAACACUCACACAGAUAUACAAAUAUAUGUAGGUACAUUGUACAUACAUUACAUACCCUCGUGUUUAAAAACAUACCUACCCUUUUACUUUCAUUCGUUUUUCCUUUCAUUCUACUACCUUAUCCUGCUACUACCCCUUCCUUUAUUUUCUCUUUUUUGUUACAACAUUGUACAACAAAAAAUUAUCCAUUUAUUAUAAACCAUCAAACAAUACUAACAAGAAAAACAGUGUGUCGAAUGCAUACAAUCAUUUGUUUUGCAAACUUUUUCUCUAUUUAUGUAAAACCGUGCAGACUCGUUAUCAAAAAAUUCCGAAUGCAGUUUAAAAUACAAUUUUUAAUUUUUUUCUUUCUUGUAUGCCAAUCAUGGAAACGUGAUCACUUUAAAAACUUAAAUGCAAUUAAUUGUAAUACAGGGUCCGACAAAAGAACCUCCUGUAUUUCAAAAGGCAGUUACAAAUAAACAAACAUAGGUAGGUACAAAAAAAAUGAUUCCAUUUUUGAAUUACAAAUACUAUUUUACAUUAUAUAAAAUAAUUACUUCGUUUUAAACAUUAUGCCUGUUAAAUGGCGUCUUUCAUUAUUGAUACAUUGACGAAGCUUUUCCCGAAAGUUGUCCCUAUUUGUUCGUAUCAUUUCCGGUGUAAUGGCAUCCACUGGCCUGGGUGAAUGCCUUCUUAAGUGUUUGCAGGAUUGUACGACUAUGACUGUAAACUAGCGCCUUUAAAUAUUCCCAGAGAAAAUAAUUACAAGGUGAUAAAUCGGGUGACUUCGGACCCAGGUGAUGUCUCUUAGCAAAGACAGACGUCCAGCAAACAACUCUCUCAAAAUUGCUAGUGAAUGCCAUGAAGUGUAAUACCGUCUUGUUGGAACCAGACUUCUCGCUCUUCGUGGCAGUGGCGUAGCGAAUUCAAAUAUUUUCAAAGGCGAAAUAUAUUUUUCGAUACCCAUCAACCCACCUAUCCAUAGGUACAUGACCCACACAUCGAUUAUUAUUUUUGAACAUUGAACACUGGGUUUUUAUCUUUUUCAAAAAAUGCCCUAUAAAAAAGCAUUUAUGGGAGUGGAAGAUUGCCUCUUGCAUUUAAUUUUAAACCAUAGAGAUAAUUAUAAGAUAAAUUCAAAUAACACGAAAUGUGACAUUAUUUUUUAAAAGAUUACUGUUUCUUUAAUAGGGUUCAGUUGUACAAUAAUUAAAAUAUCAAUUACCAUAAAUUCUGCAUUAAGAGAUCUGAAGACUGCGAACAUGUCAAUUGCUUUAUUACGAUAAAUUUCAACAUUUUUUUCAGAGCUAAUAUAAGUAGACUUUCGGUAAAUAGGGUGGUUCCUAUAGUUCACGGCGCGAAACGGAACAACAAAAGAAGAGUUGGACCUAGUGGGAUUUGUUGGGACCUUAAAAUUAAUUUGAGAAAAGAGAGCUGAAGCAUCCACACGUCCGUCAAUGACGGAUGCUGCUUAUGCAAAAACAUCAAAUUAGCUUCCACUCUUUUAUUUGAUAGAGAUAUAAGAUAGUGCUUAUUGAUUACUGGACCAUAAUUGUGUGGAGGGUGGGGAAUUUUUUAAAUGAAAGCUACAGAAGAGCUAAAACAUCAAUAUAAUAUAUAAUAAUAUUAUUACAUUGGUAUACAAAUAUACGGUUUAUCUACAUAAAUUGUAUUUUUCCAUACAUUUUUUAUUUUGUUUAAUUUAUCUAUAAUAAAUCAACAACAUAAGAAUAAUCUAUAAAAAUCGUUCGUUAAAUAAAACGAUAUUUUUCGUAAUUAUAUAGCACUCGCCGUUUAUAAUCUAUCGUUCACCCCUUAAAAAAAAGGUGUGACCGCUGUUAUAGCGUAUUCGGCGCCACUAAUAAAAUAUAUUAUAUUACACAAUAAUGAUGUUGUCGAACAUUAUUGUUUUUAUUAUUUCGCUUCCUGCUACGAUGACAUCGUUACAACAUUAUUUUAAUGGUUGUAUUACUUUUCGCUACGAUAAAAAAAAAGCUCUUCCCCAUGAACAGCUGAGUUCUUCAUUACUAGAAAGUCUAAUUUGAUUUUUUGUGUGUAUUUAAAAAUUAUUCUUCGAUUAAAACAGUAGCCCGCGCUAACAAAUAUCGUCUCACUACGAUUUGUAACAGUAUAGGUACCCUCGGCGAAUCUCAAUACAGAUCUUACAGAUUUCAAGCGAAGCGAGGAAUACAUUAUUCUUUUAUCCCAGAGAAGAAGAGUUAAUUUUCGGAAUUUUGUUUUACGAUUUUUCUUAAAUCACUGUGAAUUUGUGAUGUACUUUUCCUUUGGUAAAAAAGGCCUAAGCCAUGUUAUUAUAUGAUUUAAGGCAUUUUGUAAUUUAGAAAUUUAGCUAUUAUGUUGUUUUUUAUAUUACUAAUAUUUUUGAAAUUGAAUUCGAAUUGUUAUUUUUCUUGUCUGUAAACAACUUUGUUUUUAUCCGAAAUCUUGCUUCAAUUAUUAACAUUAAUGCCCGUAUGCAUAGUCCCGAUCUUAUGUGUUACAUUGCUUAUCGUUGCUUAUGCUGCAUCGUUGCUUAAAUGACCCAUAGCUGAUUGGCCCAUAACCUAUUUAUUUAUUUUUUAAACGGACCUUCCAUAUUUCCAAGAUAUCAUCUAGGUAUAUUGUCAUCUAUAUAAAUUUCAAUUUUCAAAGUUAAUUUUUUGUAGUUUUCUCAAUAAUUGAGAAAAACCGAGAAAACGUCAGAAAAACGAGACUAUUUACGCAAUAACGGUUUCGUUAGUUAGGAUUUUUUUAUUGUUGUAAUUUUGUGAAGAAUAAUCGUAGUGAUUUUUUCCAGCGUUUUUCUAGUUAUUAAUAUAACUAAUUCAAAAUAUAAAAACAUGUGUUAGUAAUGCGAGUUAUGCAAUAUGCGCGUAAAAAUGGUUGGUACGUUUUACACGAACAAUUAAUAGUUGCGGUUAUUAUUAUAUUAUUCCGCGGUCACAAAAUAUUAAUAUGCGAUCGCGUUCAGUUCAAACCGAUCGAAUACCGGCUGCGUCUAGGGCACACCUUUGGCGACGUUUCGCGCGUUCGCUGCGGAUAUUUCGAGAAUCCGACCAGGACCGCGCACUAUAUAAUUUUGUACGCGGAUAAAUAUUUUGGCGGCAUUUUACGACGUGUGGGUUUUUUGCGGUCACGACGACGCGGUUAAACGUAAUGAAUAUGCCCUCGUUUUAGUACGGCCGAAACGGCGGCGGAGAUUUAUAACGAGAUUGUGCCGUUACGUUCUCAAGAAUGACACCCCGAGUAGGUAGGUAUAUAAUAUACACAUCCGCGGGUUUUAUGCGUGCGCGAACCCUCCGGAACCUCGAAGACACUAUAUAUACACACACUUAGGUACCCCGGUGAAAUUUAUUAUGUUUUUCCGCGCGAAAACGGUCGGCGGCGCCUGGAAGGUCCGCGCAGCCGUUGGGUCGUCCCGGUGAAUUAUUAUUAUUAUUAUUGCGUUGCGGGACGUCGGUGGCGGCGGCGGCGGCGUCGUGGCGGUGAAGACGACAGGCGUUUUCGGCAUUUCACGUAUUUAUUGCGGGAUCCGACGGGAAAAACUCGUACUCGCGCUAUCAUAAUAUAUACGUUUUCUUGUCUCCUGCACAGUGGAGUGCGGUCCAGGAGGGAAACGUCGAGUUUGGAAAUUGUGUGUAAUAGAAAAAAAAAAAAGGAUCAAUUUUAGAUUCUCGGCGGAGCGAGGAACCUAUUGGUUUUACGACGACAUGUUUAUUAAUUUUCUUUUUCCGUGAACAACUUUUAUACCAGAUAUUUUGAUCCGAUUUUCAAAGCUGCGUGUCGCUGUCGUCCCCGGGUCAGAAGUACUACUCGAAACCGGUACAAAAAUUUGUUAUGUAAUUUGUACAAAUUUGUAACAUUAACCCAGAAAUGUUUACAACCCACCUAAUAGUUGAAAAACGUGUUUUUUGUCACGAACACCAGCGACACGUGUCGCCAGCGUCCGUAUUUCUUACGUUUUUGUCGUAGAGAUUCGAAACCGGUACCAAAAUUUGUUAUAUGAUUUGUACAAAUUUGUAACUGCAACCCUGAAAUUUGAACAACUCUCUCCUCUCAAGUGUGAUCAAAUCAAGUUUUGGUUUGACUAGACGCGAUAAAUUUGAUGUUAUGUACGUCUAUAAGUAUCUAAUAUAAUAUAGCUUAUGUGUUCUCAAUUCUGUGUAUCAGUGUUGAAAAAAAAAAAUUUUUUUUUUUAUUAUUAAUAUGAUAUCAUGGAUUAUAAAAGUAAUUAUUUCUUUUCUAUUAAGUAUCUAUUUAUUAAUUAUUAUUUAUUUUCCGCAUUUCUUAGUUUAUUUCGUAGAGACUCGAAACCGGUACCAAAAGAAGAGCGUUUGUGAAGUGCAUUUGUUCUUUGGAAAAUUUCUCAAUAGUUUUUAAGACAUUUAAAUCCGGACUCUAGUAAUUAUUAUAAGUUUAUUUACUGUUCACAUAUUAAUCUCGUAAAAUAAAAUAUCGUCUUGGCGAUGCCGCUCACCAGUACUUUUUAUUGUAUUUCCUUUUAUAUUCUGAGUGGAAUGCAGAAUUUAAUGGUUUUAUAAUGAUGUUUAUUUUUUUGCUUACAACUUUUCUACCAGAAAUUUUGUUCCGAUUUUCAAGUAUAGUACUUUUUCUGAAAAUAAAUCUGAUUGUACUGAUGGUACUUUAUAAAGGUCAUUUUUUAAUUUUCUCAGGGGUUUUCAUAAUAAACGGGAAAAUUUACGUAAUGUAUUAUUUUCAAAUCGUAAAUAUGACGGUCUUUUAAAACAAUGUAACCGAAUCUCUCUCAGAAUCGUUUUUCGUCAACAAUGAUUAAUCGUUGUGUAUACAGAUAUACAUUAAAGGCUGCAGUGUAGAACACCGUUAAAUAUGGGGGAGGGGGGGUUGGCGCAACAAAAUCAAUUUUUUUCAAACUUGUAUCUCUACAAAUCAGUCACCAGAAUAGCCAGAUCUUUUUUGUGGAGUAUUUUUGAGGAUUCGAUGGCUGAUUGGAUUAAAAAAAAAACAAGACAUCACCAAAUCAAUCAAUUAUCAGGCCCUGUAACUAAGAAAUAAUGGCUUGUUUUAUAUACAAUUUUAAAAUUUAUCGUAUUCGGUAAAAUUUCACGGCAUUCGUCGUCGGAACCGAACGGAAUUUUAAACUCGUUAGAACGGUUAUAUUCGUGCGUGUUUCGACGUCUAUAAUAUUAUACGCACGUAAACCAAACGCAAGUAAUUGCCGAAUACUAUGUAUUUACUGCGAAUAUUUUUUUAUUUAUUUAAAUUUUUUAUUUUCGAUUCAAAUACAUUUUAUCACGGUGUUUUUUUUUUGGUAUACGAUAUAAAAUACAAAAGCAGAUGAACGAAUUCGCGGCCUGACAACAAACGAUAAUAAUAUUUACGCGGAUAUUUUUACACCGGAUGUAUUCGCAUACCGUUUGGUCGAUCGCGAACCGCACGAAUUCUUCUGGGAUACCGAAAACGAGGUUAUAUAGGUACAGGUAGAUAGGUAUAUAAAGCACAAAAACGGACGGACAUUAUUACGAUUUAUACGUUCCGUUCGCCGUCGUAAUAUCAUGGUAUAAAACUAAAAAAAAUAAAACGAUAACCGCUGUUUAUUCCGUAUUCGACAGUGAUGCCUGAGUGUUUUUUUUUUUUUAUUUCGUUUUCUUAAAACCGUUCAUGCAGUGCCUCUAUAAUAUAUAUUAUAUAUACAUCCUCGUAUAUACAUGCGUAUAAAACGGAAACGAACCGGGAAAUUCAAUUACCUUCCCGUCGUCGUCGGGAAACAGGUGCGGACGUAUUUUCUCACCGUGGCGUGCGCACAUCAUAUAUUAUAUAGGUACCCUACCUAUACAUACGUAAUCCGGUAAAGAAAUUUAUUUGUUUCCUCGGCGAAAACUACGAGCCAAUUUACGGGUUAACAUAUGUAAAAAGGCUUUCGUUACCCAUAUAUAAUGUACACUCGUAUAUAUUGUUACUGUGCUGCGAAUUCCCAAGAUCGUGUUCACCGAAUACAUGUUAUUGCGUAAAACGGGCGCGAUACUGUAUGCGUUGAUUCGAUAAUGACGUCGCUGCAGGUCCUCUCUACAAAAGUCUCUGAAAAAUCCCGUCGCCCGGAGAUUUCAUCGGGAGUUAUGCUGUUUUAAUUCGCACCGAAAUAACCAUAGUAUACGUCAUGGGCGCUCUCACGAGAGGUGUGAUGGGGGGAUGGGUCCCCGUAUGGACUUUUUUUUUUUAGGUAAUAUGGAGUUUCCUGUUUUACUGAUAUUAAAUGACAAUAAUCAAAUAAUUAAAUAUAAUCCAUACAAUUUUUUUUGACUCGUUAUCAUUUUCCACGAUAUUCGUACAUAGAUUACAGACCACGCAUGAUUACAGACUGACAUAUUGUUGACACUAUCUGUGAUUAAAGAUUAAUAUAAUUUUGUAAAUUCAACAUUUUAAUCAAACAUAUAAUGUGUUAUAAUUUAAUGUAAGUUGUUUUUAUAUAAGAAAGAUUACUUUUUAAUCAAUUUUCAUACCAACCCCCCAAUAAAAAUAUCCUGAAAACAUCUCUUAUGGAAUAAUUAUAUCGUGUAACUUGCAAAGCGGUCAAACAUAGCGUUUGUAAUUUGCAUCGAAACCGCUAUCUGUAUUACACAUGAUGAUUAUCAUUGAGUAUUCAGUUAUUUCGACGGUAUCAAUAAUGCGUGUGUAUUAUUUCCGAUUUAUCCAUCAUAUACUCGGAAUCAAUGUGACCUCGAUUUGAAUGUUUUAAAUAUAAUUGUAUACAUAUAGUAUUUAAUUUUUUAAUUUUUGAGAAAUUUAAUUAACGCGUUAAUUGAAUGUUCACGAAUUCGCUCAUUCCCUGUUAAACAAAUACUACAAUUUUUUAAGCGCGCCUGUUAAAUGUGCAAAUCAAAAAUUGUCUAAAAAUUAAAAACAAAAUAAAUGUCUUAUUCGCUUGUAGAAAUGCGCGAUACGGAAUUUUAACAAAAUGAGCGCCGUACAGCGAGCUUAUUAUAAGUGCCGUUGAAAAACGGUUAUCUUAUAAUUUUUAUACAAUAUACGAGCGCCGCACAUUUUUGAAAACGUUUAACAACGAUGCCGGCCGUGAAAUAUUGAAAAAUUCGUAACGUAUAAAGAAGCAAGUAAAUUAUUAUUCGAUGUGAAAAAAACGAAAAACGAACACAAUAGGUAGGCGCAUAUUAUUAUACAAGUACGAGCGAAUUACACCGAACACAAUAUUAGUUAUAUUGCUCGUUCUUAUAUUAUUAUACCGUAACGAGGCUGCGCUUAUUUACGUUUAAAGUCAAAGAGGAAUAAUUUAUUAUAAUCUCAACGUCGCUGCCGGUCGCUGUGUGAAGAAAACAUAAACGCGCAGUUAAAACCGUGGAAAACAAUUAUAUAUAUAUGUAUAUAUAUAUAUAUAUAUAGGAUAUACAAUUAUAAAUGGAUAAGUAUACUGCAGAAAAAGCGUAAAAAACUGGCAUCAUUCACGACUCUGUUAUAAUAAUAAUAAUAACAACACGAAAUAGCGUCAUUUUUGCAAUAGCGAAAAAACUGUUUUUUUUUUUUCUAAAUUUUUUUCCGGUAAAGUAAACAUCAGCUCGUUCGCCCCCGGGCCGUCGGGCUUUCCGUACGAUAUUAUAAUGUAUAUUGUCGUUUUGUCCUCGCCAAAAUUGGACCGUUUCCCGAGCGUCCCGUUAAAUUUACAAUUCAUUAAAUUUGAAUUGUUAUAAAAGCCCUCUAUUGUGUGAAAUAUAUAUUAUUAUAAAACGCGAUAUAAACUUCAAUAAUUGAAUGGCGCGUUGUGUGAUUGUUUAUAUAAUAACGUUUUAUAUAAUAAAAUUAUAUGUACACAUAUAUAUAUAUAUAUAUAUUUAUGUUUGUUUUUGCGAAACGAUACCGCGCGUUUGUGCGAAUUUCAUUCGGUAAUUGAAACUAAAAAAAACACAGUUAUAUCGGCGGCCCUACCAACGUAACACCGCGGCAGUCGAUGUAUUGUGUUGGCGGCGAUAGAUUUAUAAAAUUGUCGGCGCACGGUUCUACAUUUUUUUUGUUUACAAUUUGCCAGUCUCUCGGUUGGUAGUGGCGGUUUUUAUUGGGAGUGUGUGAGGGGGGGGGUGAUGGGAGCGAUCACACGGCAAACCAUUGCUAACGAAAAUUCGAUUCUGCAGAGAGGAGUUCAGUUAAUUGUGAUGCUUUGUCAACAAUAUUUAUGUCCUAUUAUGGUAAAAUAAUUAAAUAAGCAAUAUAUAUUUUCUUUAAAAACAUUUGUUUAAUAUUGUACCGAUUUUCCCACGUUUUUCCUGGUUUUUCACAUUUUCUGGGAAAACUGCUGGGAAAAUCGAAAAAUUACCUCCCUAAAAUACCUCCCCAGUUAGAUUUUCUUUUAGAAAAAGUGAUAUUGUAAAUCGGAGCAAAAUGCUGGUAAAAAAGUUUCUUUCACAGAAAAAAAAAUCGUAAUAUUUUACUAAUAUAUUUCAUACAUUUUCCAGUUUUUUUUUGUUUUUCACAUUCGUUAAAAAAACAUCAGAAAAAAUUGAAAAAUGACCUCCUUAGAGUACCUCCCUCCCUCCCAACAAAAUUUCUUUUCAGAAAAGUCGCUACAUCGUAUACAUUGGAGCAAGAUCUCUGGUAGAAAAGUUGUUCACAGAUAAAACAGUUGUAAAUCCAUAAGAUUCUUUGCUCAACUCAGAAUAUAAAAUGAGUUAUGCGUAACUUAUUAUAGCACCAUAAACAAAUGUUAUCCUUUAUUUGAUAUAUGUUAUUGUGGUAUGGGGUCUAACAAAAUUAAAAUCGCCUCCCCCGGUAAAGGGGACCGUUCGCGCAUUUCUUUCUUUGCGGUCGUUCAAUCCUUUCAUCACGCUGGAUCGAUCCUCGGAGCGACCCGGUUUUGACCUCAGACGUCAGUACGGGAAUAUAAGGUGUUGUACAGGGUUAGUUGAGAUCGCCGGGUCGGAUCACCGACCGUACGCCCUAGUAUUUGUCCCAAGCGCUGAUUUUACUGAGUGGGUCAUGCAGUGGGUUCAGGUGCACAAACGCUAAACACAUAACACGUUCGGGCAUCUCACAGAUGUAUAAAAAUAUACAGCCCACUGGGAAGUUCAAAAUUUAUAACUUAGUAUAUUUCGAAUCGAUAAAGAAGUUGCAAAAUAUCAAUCUCUAAUUGGACUGGGUAGCAGUAUAGUAUUAUUUAUCCGGAACCGCUUUUCGUUUGUAAAUCUUUGUCGUCGCAUACAGUAUACGUGCAUAAACUAAAUUACACUGUAUAAUAUUAAAUAUCUUCCCGAUUACCCAUCUACGCAACAGCUAGUGGCCUACCCGUGAGCUGUAUCGAUUUUUUUAAGUUUUUAUGUACCGGAUAAUCAAAUCUGGGCAAUAACUUGUGUAGUUAAAUUCAUCAAUAAUAAUUUUUCAAAAUCAUAGAAUAAUUUUAAAAAAUAUUUAAAUAACAACAGUGAUAUUAUCAAUAAAAUUAGUAUUAUAUAUUGAGCAAAAACUUUUAUUAUGUCCAUAAAAUUGUUUGCUAAAAUCGUCUGACUUUUAUAAAGUCUUAAUUAAGAAACCAAACUUUUAUAUAAAAAAAAAAAACACAAAACUUGUUUAGUGCAAAGUUGUUUUUAUUGGUCGAUAUCACAAAUGCGUAUAAAAAAAAGUUAUUAUUGGUUUAAAAUAGGAUAAUUUCAUGUUUUUCAAACUAGGAACUUUUUUUGUAGUGUAAAUAGUUUUUGAGUGUAAAUAUCGAAACAAAUAAAAACAAUAGCUUAGUGCAGGCAGGUACAGUAAGAGAAUAUUGAAAACACUUUUCGAGGUUUUUUUUUCCCAUAAGCAUUUUAUAGUUCAUUUCACUACAAAUUUAAAUAUAUUUUUCGAAUCAAUAAAUUUUCGAUUUUUUUUUCAAAAAUUUAUCGCUGUGAGUUUCAAGUUUACGACUACCUGAAUUGCGUGUUUAAAUUUUUACCGAAACGAUCGCUUGAAAAAAAAAAAAAUAAAAAAAAAAUCAUACGUUUUGUCACCGUAACGCAGAAAUAUUAUAUUCGGCAAUAUUUCGAAAUGCCGCAGUAAUAAUAUUUCUCAAAGGCAUAAAAUAAUAUAUUAUUGUUAUUUUUUUCACGCCGUUGAAAGUAAAAAUCAAUAUAAUACGUAAAAAAAUAUAAAGCGCGUAUCGAAAUAACAGCCGCGUGUUGUAUUCUCGUCCGAGAAAAGGUUGUUUGCGUUUUCUGGGUCGUAUACUGUAUAGUACAAACAACUAAAACCCGUACACCUACUUAAACAAUAUUGUUACUAUACGGUCGUAAAAAUAUGAAAAAAAAAAAAAAAUAAAUAAUAAUAAUAAAAACACUCUGAAAUUAAUACACCUGCAAAAAAUAAUCGGUCGAGAUCGUGCGGGUUAAUUGCAGUUUCUUAUAAAAAAAAUUUAUCGAUCGGUUAUGUAAUUUUUAUGAGCGAACUUUUUUACCGUUAUACACUAUUAUUACAUUAAAUAGAGCGGCUUAACACACGUUUUAUAGUUUUUUUUUUUUUUACAUCGAUUUUGUCCUUAAAUGUCAAUAUACAGGCACCUAUAGCUAGGUAUAGUGCAAUAUGUUCGGCUUUAAAGAAUAGAACACGUGAACUAGUACCCUUUUGAUAUUUACCCGUUCCGCCUGCCAGCGGAUAUACUAUUACAAAUUAUAUUAUCUAGAUACUGCCUGUAUGCCAUUAAGUACGUCAUUUUCUACGUAUCGUUAUGUAUAUAUAAAAAAAAUAUUUGUUUGAAAAUAUACGAAUUUCAUAUCGUACCUCUAAUAUAUUUAUGAAAGUUAGUGUUAAGAUGACGUUAUACCUGCGCGUGCUUUCUCCGUCUUGAAAAACGUACGACUUGGCGAAUUUGGGUUCGGUAGUGACCGAUGUGUGUCGUUAGUUUUAAUAUUGAAGCGAAAUUGACCUAUCCAUCGAACUUAAAGCCGAGAAAAUUAUCUAUGUAUAUUUCUGGUGCUAUUUUAGAUUCUGAGUGUAGCGAAGAAUGUAUUAGUUUUACAAAGAUGUUAAUUUUUUUUAUUUUUGUAUGCUGUGUACAAAAAUUUUGCUAGAAAUCUUGCUUUCUGAAAGGAAUUUUCCUGAAGUGGUCCUGAAUAAGUCCUUUAAAUAUUUAAGCGAAAUGACCUGUAAUCAGAAUUAAAGAUAAGACUAUGUGCAACUAUUCUGAUUUUUCUCUCUUGAUAUUUUGAUUUUCAAGAGUAUGAUGCAAAAAUAUAUCCCAGAUUAAAAGCGUUUAUAUAAUCGAUAAUAUUACGUGUAGGUGUAUUCAUAAAUUGUGUAAAGAUUCGAAACGAACACGGUGUCGGGCUUAUUACGGUGUAAUCGGUAACACAAAAAAGUAUUUCGCACCGACGCCGAGCUAAUCCCGAAAUUAAUCCGUAAUUCCCCGAACGAAACGUGUGGACUUUAUAUUGAAACGCCUAAGUAAUAAAUUAAAAAAUAAGUAGACGUUUUGCAGCAGGUGGUUUAACUGUCGCGGGGUGUGAUUUAACGUAUGUACAAAGCGUUUUUGUAUUUUGUUAGAGAAAAAAAAUCGUUUCGUUUAAUCGGAUUUAAGAAACGUUCAACGUAUUAUUUUUUUUUAUACUCUUUUAAAUUUAUAGAGAAAUUUAAAUUCUUACUAUUCUAACUUCUAUACUUUUGUAAUACUUCGUGUAAUUUUUCACUAUUGGAUAAUGACCUUUAUUAUUUAAAAAUACAUAGUAUCAUAAAAAAAAAAAUUAAACGUACAUGAAAUAUGAAAUAAUGUGAUUUUUUUAUAUAAAUAUAUUUUCAUAGAAAAAUAUCAACUUAUAAUUUAUAAUUUUUUUGUUAAUAAUUUUACAAGCAAAAGAAAUAUAGAAAAUUCGAGUAUAUUGUUCUUUUUCCAUAAAGAUUAAAAUAUACGUACUUCGUGAGUGUAUUAUAAAAAAUAAGGAGAAGAAAAAUGAUCUUAGUAUAAGCUUCUUUCAUUGUUUUUUUGUUGUUUUUAAACUAAUUAAUAAAUAAAAAAAAAAAAAACGGAAAACAGAUAAACUUCACAUAAUAUAUCUGGGGAUCACUGGUAUAGUGCAGCAGUUUUCAACCAUACUAUUGUUACGUAGAAAGCUCAUAGUACGCGAAGGAAAUUUUGUUUUUUAUAAAAAAAUUAAUUCAUCGUUGAAAAUAAUAUAAAACUGAAAGAUAUCAAUGUGGAGCGCGAUGUCGUUGACGUCCUAAUCGAUUCGAAAUUAGGCGCAAAAGUUUUGAUACAAAAUAUUCCUAUCAUAUAAUCAUUAUCAUAAUAAUUCUACUUCGGACAAUUUUCAAAUUAGAUUUUCUAUUUGAUUUUACUUAUUGAGCAAUAAAUAAUUUACAUUUGCAUUAUUACCUACCUACAGUCGUAGUUUCAGAUUAACGCUAAUUAAUUAGAAGUAAUAAUUUCCAAUACAUAUAACAUAUAUUUUAAAAAAUGCGUACAUUUUUCGACAACCAAUGCGGUACGUGCAAAUUUAUGAAAUUUGUAGACAAUACUUAUUGGAUACGAAAAGGCGAGAACCAGUGGUGUAUUUAGGAUUUCACUGAGCAGAAGAUAUUGAAUUUUGUUACUGUGUCAUAUUAUAUAACGACUAUAACGUGCACCUGGUAGAUACCUAGUCUAAACAAAGAUCAAUUAUUAGUUUGUGUAAGUAAUUAAUAAAUAAAAAAAAAAUGCCAUACAAUUUUUAUUGAAAUUAAAUAACUAGUUUAGGUUCUAACUUCUAACCUCCUUCAUAUUUGCAGGAUUAUAGGUUUAGAUAUAAUUUUGAUAGGUUUCGUUGUAAAUAAGUAAAUGUUCAGGUAAGUACGUUUAGGUUUCUUUAUAUAUUAACUAUAAAAGUACCCACCUAUACGAUUUGAAAAUGUAAAAAUUAAAAAAAAAAAAUUAGGUAAGUAGUUAUAAAAGAUAUGAAAUAUAAAUAGUAGACACUACAAAAUACUCAAGUGGGUUGUAUAACUUUCUAUUCCCCCUCCUUUAAUACGCCACUGUCCAUAACGCCCGACUCGUAAUUGGAUUAGUUUAUUAAAACCGCGACAAGAACUUUGUUUUUUUUACAAAUUUUCAACAUUAUAUAAACUUACUAAUAUUAUUCGAUCGAUUUAUUAUCGUGUUUAACAAUAAUAACGCAAAACCUUCCCCUUAUACAGGUUAUUAUUAAUAAUUUAUAAUAAACUAAAAAUUAAUUAUAAAAACUAGUGUUUUAAUAACAUAGAUAGUUUAUACAGUGUUUAAACUUUUUUUUUUUUUAAAUGUCAGAUAAUAAUUAUAUAUUAUACUUGUAUAAUUUGAUCGACAGCGCGUUAAACGAUUAUUAUUAUUCACACAAUAUUAUAAUAAUGUAAAAACUUUAGUGUUUUUGAUUAUAGGUACGAGAAGUUAUUUGUCAGUUUAAUAAACUCAAAAACACGUUAUGACGACGGCCACACAGUCUUUUCCUUUUUUUUUUUAUAGAAUACGGUUAAGAAAUAUUAUAAAUGAUGCAGACAGGUAGUGUUUGUUUCAAAGCAUUUUCGUCAGACAUGUCGUAGUCGUUUCAUUUAAAUUAAAGCGUACCAUAUUGUAUAUAAUAGAUAACGUUUAACAUCCAGUUUUAGCCAUUUUGGGUGAUACGUCGUAAAGGCUUACUAUGGGCGACGGACGUACACUCUAUAUCAUUAUAAAUUGCAUGUCAACAGUGACUUUUUUCAUUUUCCUUUCAAUUCUUUUAAACCGGAAAAUAACGUAUAGAAAGGAGGAAUUUAAUCAAUACUAAAAUUAUAUCACACUAAAUUAUAAUACUGUUUUAUGUGUUGAAGUCUAACCACGAUAAUUUUCCUUAUUUGUUUUACUUCUCUAGAUUUUGAGCGUACCGAAGAUUAUGUUGAUUUUACUAUGACGUUGCGUGAUUUAUAUUUAAAUUUAUUAUGGAUGUUAACAACUUUCUUAACAAAUGCUUUGCUCCGAUCAUCAAUAUCAGGGAUAUUCGUUUCUGGUAGCAAUACUACUUGGUCUGAAUAUAGAUAGCACGUUGUUGAUUUUUUUUUAUAGUUGUAUUGAUAAUUGGAGUGGGAGGGUAAUCGUUGGGAAAACUGAAUCUUUUAGUAUUUACAUAAUAAUAAUAAUAAUAUCUGUUAUUUUCGAUUUUGUUUUAGAUUAUGAGCGUUACGAGGGACCUAUUGGUUUUACUAUGUUGUCUGGUUUUGGAAUUUUAUUUUUUAUUUUUUGUGACUGUGAACACCUUUUCUACUAGAAAAAUUGUUCCGAAGUAUAGACUAUAGCAUGGGUAGAUUAUGCUUGCAUAUAUAAAUGCAAUGAUAUCAAGAGCCAAAAUAUUUGUAAAUACAUUUUCUAAUUUAAUAUAAUUUGAUCUAAUUUGUACAUUUAUAACACAAAAGUAAUAACGAUAGGUAACAGCCUAAAAUAUAUUAUCAAAUUACGUAUUAAUAAAAUAUUAUUUUGUUUUGAUUAGAUUUCGAGUUUUCUAACGAUUUCUAAUACCUAAAUAUUAAGAACUGUGCGGUAAAUUUGAUAUCAAUUUUUGAUAUAUUCGUGUGAAUCGCUUUAUUCAACAAUGAAAAUAAUUAAGUUGAAAUAUCAAUCAAAUUUGAAUGAUGUUCAUCUUACAAAAUUACUGAGAACUGCUCUUACAUGCAACCAGAUCUUAAGUAGCUUACUAAAAAAACAGACACGAAAAAAAUACCACGCAAACAAAUUUAGCAUCAUCGUUUUCAUUGUUUUUAUUACGUUAACAUGAUGUUUUAUACCAGAAAUAUUAUUCCAAUCCAAAAAUGACAAGAAAUCUUUUUUGUUCUUUUUAAUAUUUCACUAUCGACAGAGAUAGUAAUUUUUUAUUAUUGAAGGAGUUUUUACAAUAAUUAGGAAAAACCAAAAAAGACGAAAUAUAUGAUUUUUUUUUAAAUUACAGAACAAUGAUUUCAUUGUUUUUAAUUUUUACGGUUUAUGUUUUCUAUCAUAAAUAUUUUUCCAAUAGAAACAUUUUUUUUUGUUGAAUUUUCAUUCUAGUUGGUGACCAAGAAAAUCGUUUUUCGGUUUUCUUUGUAAUUAUUUAAAAAUUGGGUAAAACUGAUAAAUAUGUAGAAAGAAAUGGAAAAUGUAUGAAAGUAAUUAUUUUAUUUAUUUUUAUAUUAUUAUUUAUUUAAAGUUUAUUUUAUUUGAAAAAAAAAUAUUUUGUUAUUUUUUUAUUUUACUCACUGGGAUAAGGAUUACAAAAAUUUAUAUUUCAAUUAAUUUUUUAUGUAUUGGUAAAAAACUUAGAAAAAUAAUUAUUGAUAUGCCUUAUCCCUAUGAAUAAUAUUUAAUAAAAAUAGAAUUUGAGUAUCUUUAUUAUUUUCGAAGAUAUUACAUUGGAUAUAUUUUCAUAGGACGCUCUGUAUAAUACAUUUUUAAAUAAAACAUUUGUCUGAACAAUUCAGAGGUUUAAUCUUAUUCGUUUAAGAUGAGGUAACUUUCGUCUGGUUUUGAGGUUUUUGAACUAAGUUGACUCUUGUCUGUUUUGGAAAUUGAAUUGCUCUUUUGGGCUUUAAAAAAAGUAAAUAAAGAAAUUCCUUUAAUAUGUAUUGUGAUACGUUUUAUGCUUUCAAAAUCAAAGGAAGAUAUAUCAGUUUUGUAAAAAAAAAGGAUGGACAUAUUUUUUGAACGUGGAUACAGCCACUGUUGUAGGUAGGAAGGAUGGGAUUUUGAGAAGGUAUGAUACAGACGGGAAUUUAAUGUAUAUCUGUAAACAACGACAAACCAUUGCUAAUGAAAAAAAUAUUCUGAACGGAGUUCAAUUGAUAGUGUUGCUUUGUCAACAAUAUAUUGUCAUACUAUGGUAAAAUGAUUACAGCAAUAUACGUUUCCACGACAACAAUGAUUGUUUAAAAAAGAUUAAAAUAAUAAAAAAUUUCACGUGAUAUUCGUCCAUUAUUUUAGAAAUAUUUGAUCCUCGUAGACCAAUUAUCCUUAAGCGUACACGAGAAUCAAUGAUAGUGAAUAUUUUCUAAGAAAAUAUGUAAUGAAAUAAGUAAUGAUUACGGUUUAUAAUUAUAAAUUCACAUUUAAGAAUUAAAUGAUCUAUACAAAUUAUAUUUUGAAAAUUGUUAAAAAAGUUUAAAGAAAUAUUCUGAAAUCAACUCACAAUAAUUUGCUUGUUAUGGAUUAUUUUGUAAUAAACCAUCUUUGAGUUAUUUUCUCGUGGCUGUAGUGAAUUUAAACAUUUUGAACUCAUCAUAUAACCACCUAUAAAAAUGGCAAACACACCAUCAGCUCUUUUUUAAAAAUGUUUGUCGUCUCAUUUUAUGUUGUAUAUACGAUCAGGUAGGUAUUCUAUUUAACCGUAAACGAGAUUAACUAUUAAUAAUUAUUGAUGACCGUUAACUAUUUUAAAUUAUCAAUGAUUGUUAUUAUUUACUCAUCAAUAUGUUUUUACAAAUUUGUUAUGGAUAAUCGUAAUUAUUAUUAUUACCUACCCCGAGUAACUAUACUAUCGUUUAUAACAGAUUUCGUAACAACACGUUUUAUUAAUUGACAUGACAGAUUAUAAUAUUAUAAUUGAAUAAUAAUUUUUGCCUUCGUAUAACAAUAACAUUGUAUAGGUAGUAAACUUAAUAUCAACAUUUUCGAAAUAAUCGAAUUAUUUGAUUUCAUUAUUUAUCGGUAAUAGAUAUCGCGUGCGCGUCGUUGGUGUAAAUACAUUUUUAUUAAAAUGUAGAAAAUCGGUUUUUCAACCGCCGUCUGUCAAAUAAUCGUACGCCGCCGUUGGUUUAUUAAAAUGAACGAGAAACAAUAUAUCACUCGAUUGUACCACCACGGUUAAAAUAAAACACGUUUUAGUACACAUUUUUAUGAAAUGGCAUACUGCGAAAUAACAAUUUUGCUGUACCUCCGUCAAAUUCGACAUAACAAGAGAAUGAAACACUGCUUGUACGUGGGCAGUGUAAGUUCUACUUAGGUUUUUUCCCCCCGUUUUACUCGUAUACAAUUGUGGUAUUUAUUUAUCAUUGUAUUAUUUUCGAGAUUGUAUGCAGCCACGAUCGACGGAGUAGACGACUAAACGGAAAUGGUAUGAGGAUUGAGGAGACGUGAAAGUGGACAAUGUAACCGUAUAUAGCUGACUUUGUACUUUCGUGCGGGAUAAAACCGAAAUGGAAGCAGUUGUGCGUAUUUUGCACACGGGAUCACGAAUCAUAAACAUUGUGGAUUUAUACAGAGCUUUUCAAUAAGAUUUGAUAAAUAUAUACAAUAGGUAUAACUUAAAAACUCGUGUCGUAUGGUAACUUAUGCCCAAUAUGGUGUCUUAUAUAUCCGUAGAAAAGGCAUUAUUAAAGUAUAUGCGGACGAAGCCACAGAUUAUUACAGUUACCUAAAAGGUAAAAAAGGUAUAAAAGGCUUAUAUGAGUAAGUUCGUCGCUCUUAACAUGAUACCAUUUUGGUUAGGGUUCUUAGUGUCACAAUACCACAAUAUUAUUAAAUAGAUAUAGUCUGGUACAGAUGUCGUGUUUGUUGGAUUAUUGUGGCUGAUUGCGGUUUAAUGCAGUGAUAAAUUGUGUUUUACGAGUUCUUAUUUUUGAAAUCAAAAGUGGCAUUAUUGUAAUUACAUAUUAUGUAUAACAUAGGUACCUUGUUCUUGUGAUGAACGAUAACAUUUUUAAUAAUAUUUUCAUUAUUUAUGCUGUUAUAAAUAUACGAUUACCCUAUUCAGUAAUUAAUUUCGUAAACUUGGUUUUUAUAGACAAACGUUUGACGGUUAAACAUUAUGUGCCGAUAAUGUUUGUUGUUUGUUUUUUAUCGUAUUUGUGAAAAUAUCAAUUGAUUUUAUCUUUUUAACGUUAGUAGAACCCAAAUUACAAUGCAAAGUACAUUUUUCCGGGGGGGGGGGGGGGAUCUGAGACAAUGCUUUCCAAAUACUUGUAAAGCACUUAGUAUGUACAUAAGAAUAUAUUACUUAUACUUAUAAUUCGAUUCAUGUAACAAAUAUUUAAAAAAUAGAAUUUUUAUUUUGUUAAUUUAGUAUAUAUAUACCAUAAUAUGAAUUAAUUGUUAAAUAAAAAAAUUUAAGCGAUACAAAAUAUUGCCUCAUACAAUUUAUUUUAAUAGGUUUUUUACGUAUUAUAUUUAAAAAUAUAUUUUCAAUCGUUCUGUUUAUAAUUUCGAUAAUAACUUAAAAUUUUAUGUUGCUAUGACCCAUCACCCGGGAUCGAUCAAAUAAUGAAAUAAUUAUUAAUUGUACUAAAUAGAAAUUUUUUAUUAAGUAUUUAUUACUGUUUUCCUUUUUUAGAGCAAUUUUUAUCAUUUAAAUUCACACCCUAAUCAUAUUUACUAUAUUUACAGUUGAUAUUUACGGCUGAUGAUAUCAACUAAUCCGAGAUACGAUUGUUGCCUGAACGUUUUUAACUAUCAGAAAUGUGUACGGUGUGUGACUUAUUUUGUAUAUAAUUGUAAAUUAUUAUCCUUUGACAAAACGACAUUACGUGCGGUCUGCAAAUAGAUCCGUACGGAACGGAUCUAAACGCGUGCGGGUCAUGAAUAACAGUACCACACUGCGGCGAUGGUGGUGACGGUAAAAUAAUUUGUCGCUUCAUUUUACAGCAGUUAGUACGAGUCGUAUACAUAAGUUCUCAUGGUCGAUUUUAGUCAGCUAAACGACAAAAACAAAAACCACUCAACGCAUCAUUAUAGAGGUAAAUUUCUGUAUUAUAUGGCGACUUGAAUUCGAUAAAAAAAAUAUUAUAGAUAGACAGUGUAGGUAGACUCAAGUGGAUAAAACUGCAAAAUCCCCAACAUUAUAUUAUAUUAUGUUGGAGAUCUUUAUUGUGAAUAUUUUUUCUGUUUUUGUAUCGUUGUCUAUAGCCUUUUGUAUUAUAUUAUAAAAAAAAAAAAAGUCAUCCAGUAACAUAAAAUACCUAAAAUAACAUAAUUCUAUAAUAUAUGUUAUAAAAAUCAUAAAACUCGUUAGACGUAUUAACUACUAUUAUCUAUAUCUACUCUUAUACUAUAUUUAAUGGAAUUUUUAAAUUGAAUUUCAGCAAGUCUACUCGCAACUUUCUGUAUUUGAAAAAAAUACAUUUCAUGUUUCGUUCAAUUUGUAUUAUAUUUAUAAUCAUAAAUUAUUAAUAUAUUAUUCUAUUGUAUAUUGUCCUGGUUUCCUGCUAAGACCUAACUAGACAAACUGUAACUACAAAAAUUGUAUUGUUUGGGCAAAUUAGUUUUUCGUUUUCUUUGUUUAUGUCACCUUGAAAUCAUUAAUUCUCACCAUUUUUGAAUUUAUUAUUUAUCAUACGUCCAUUACGCAUUCAAAAUAUCGUAGAAUAUUUUAUGUUGUACUUAAUCAAUUAUUUUUAUCUUUUCUUCUUUAUUUUUAAGGGGGCGCUUUAUUCGAAUUUAUUGUUUCAGUCUAAUCAAAGGGCAGCAUAACAAUACAGCAAAAUUACAUUACUUAGAAAAUAAGCUGUAGUGUUCAGGUAAAACAUAGAGUUUAAUUACUUAUAGCACAAUUUAAAGGUAAUAAUAUUUAAAAAAAAAAAAAAAAAUUGAUCACGAGAUCAUAGUUUUUAAAGGCUCGUCCAUUAAGUCUUUCAAGUUAUUUUUUAAACAGGCUGCGCUCUCUAAUAGAUUCUAUUCUAUAAGACAUUUGUCUUCUAAAUAUUGUCAUUAGACGAACAUUUUUUGUCACGUUUCAAAUCAUUUUAAAAAUCGUCCGUAACAGUUGGCUAUAUUGUUAAUAACAUGAAACGUUCUUAAAUCGUUUGCAUAAUUUGCAUAGAACCAUUUGCUCAGCGUUUUCUAGGUUUGUUUUUGUGGAUGCACACGAAUUGCCUCCUAUCUGACCCUCGAAUUGUCACCCGUGAAUUUUUUUUUAAAAGGUUACUCGAAUUGCCUCCCGAUUUCUAAAAUAUCAUUCAUUCGAAUUGUCUUCUAUUUUAGGUAGUAACCUUCUUAUAUCGAAAUUGAUUUCUAUUUUGAUUUUUUUGAAAACUAAAAAAUAUUUUACAUAGCUAAGUAUUAGGUACACGACAUUAGUACACAUAUGAUUAGUAGACAUUAGUACAAAAGAGCAAAUUUGAUACGUAUUGUAUCAAAAUUACAUCAAAUUUAUCAAUUAAGUUAUUAAUAAAAUUAAUUUUACUUUUAGUAGUUGUCCUAACUUUUUGGUUUCCACUGUUGAAGAUCUAAUAAAAAUUACCGUACCUAACUGCAUUGAUUUUAGUAUUUAAAAAUUUAUAAAUAUGAGGGUGAGAGGAUGAAAAAUUAGAAUUUAAAUUUUUGUGGAAUGAUUCACAAGCGUUAGUAGACUUUUGUAUACUUGAUGUUAUUGCACCUCACAUUCUUGGUGAGAAAGUUGAAUCUUCAUCUAUAUAAUUUUCAAACAAAUAAUAGGAAAAUUGAGUUAUUUUGACAUUAUCAGGUUUUAAUUCACCAAAAUCCAUGGUGAAAUUGCCAAAAGUUCCAUCCACAUGUAUUUAGCGUACUUAGAAACUUAAUAUUAUCGUCGCAUGAAAACAUUAACUAAUCAUUUAAUCGGCCAUUUACUAUUAAAAAGUUCUCAUCUAUAAACAUUUUAACCUUAAUGGACGAUAAAACUUUAUAAACUUCAUUCACAUUUUGUGGCAAUUUUGGAUAUAUAGAAUUCCUAAUAUUGUUCAUGUUAUUUUUAAUGUUAAUUUACUUCUGAAGUUGUUAAUGUACUACUUACAUUACUAUUUUUUAUCUCGUCGUGAAAUAAUUUUGCGAAAUUAUGUUGAACUAGUGAUAUUGAAUACGAUAGUCAACUAAGCUACUGAUAUCAGAUAUCGAUAAGAUUAUUGCAAUUGACAAAUAAUUAAACUGUCUGGGAAAUACUAUAUGUAUAUAUUACUAUAAAUAAUAAAAAUAAUAUUUUUGAACAUUACGGAAAUCAAUAUAAUAAUCGAUAGUACACGUCAAUUAUCGAUAUAUUAAUUAAUAAUCUAGGUAUGCAAUGGGAGGCGAUUCGAGUGGACGGUUUGGGUAUACUCAAAUCGCCUCCGAAAACACCCGGAGGCAAUACGAGUGAAAAAAGGUCAUCUACCUGAAUUUUGGAGGCAAAUCGAGAACUCCCGUUUUUGUUGGUGCAAUAGGUUGGUUCGCUUUUGAUGACUUUUUAUUUUCUUCGUUUAUUACAUGGAUCGACAGUUUGGAUGGCGAUCCAUUACCUGAUUACCUUAUUAUCUGAUGCAGUAUUAUCUGUAUCAUCAAUUUUUUGUAAUUUAAAUUUUUAAAACAAGGCACUGUUUCUAAGGUUAUCGUCCUUGUUUCCAUUUAAAUGUGACGAUUUUGUGGUCCUACUAACAUAAUUCUGAGAUAUUUCUGAUUGAUUAUUUUUAAAUACGUUUAAAGCCAUUGUUUCUGCAAUUGUGCUUAAAAAAAGUUUAGCACUGGAUGCUUUACCGGAUUCUCUAUGACGCAGUUUGUUAUUGACAUUAUUUCUAGUAACUUUUGCGGUAUUAUUAACUUACUUUUUGGAAAAUAUUGGAUACUCAGUAUUUUGGAAUUUGACUUGUACUACAGUUUUUGAAUAUAUUUUCGAGUUUUCGUUAUUUUAAUUUUUUUAACGAAAAAAAAUUUUCGAUUUUUCAUUUGGUACCUAAUCUAUGCAAUCGAAUGCAUACCUGCCGCACCCGGACGCAAUCGAAAACCGGUAAAAACAGUAAAGUCAAAACGGGACGCAAUCUGACGAUGCCAGCUGUAUCAUCUUUGAACUUAAGCAUACUUAUUGAUUUAUUCCCUAUAAUAAACACGGUGAUUUAUCUGUUUAUAGUAUUGAACGACCACCCCCUCCGGUUUGAUACGACAUUUUUUUAAUAGAUUUUUAAGUUAUCACUAUAGUACAGAUUUUCACCGCGAUAAAAAAAAAAAAAACCCGAAGUUACAUAAUAACAUCGAAUAAUCAAAUUCAAUAUAAUAUUAUGUAGGUGUAAUAUGCGACAAGGGGUUUUUUGAAAAUUCGGCGUUUACUAUAAUACUAUACGCGAACUCGUCUACUUGUCACGACGAGCAUAUUGAUCACACCCGUAUUAUAUUCUCUCGACAACGGUUAUUAUUAUAAUAUCAUACUUGGACGAAAUCUAAAUAACAAUAAUAAUAAUAAUAAUAAUAGGUAAUCAUUUUUCCUUUUACGCACGUGUUCAUGACACGCACAAUAAUUUAUUAUAAUCGAUUGUUUUAAAUUAUUAUCACACACGUCUUUGAUGUGUACGGUACAGAUUAUAACAAUAAUAUUGUUAUCACGGAAUGUCAAGCCGGUAGCGCGUGCGGUUGUAACGGUUUAACGCGGGCCGUCAUUUUUGGCGCGGAUCCGUCGAGACCUUUCGGCCGUCAUCACGUCCUCCGUCACACGCUGCAUUAUACGACGAUGACGGUUUUCCAGAUGUAUUAUAUGUAUAUGAAUACGUCGGGGGACGCGCGUUUAUUAUUUAUUAUUAAAAAAAGACGACCGGUCCCUGUCUAUAUAUAUACGUAUAUUCUUAUAUUCUAUACAUUCUAUAAUAUAUUCCGAAAAUCAUACUACGCUGACGGCGGCGAAUAAAACCGCGCGUAUCAUAAACUAAAACCAACGCGUGUACCAUCGACAACGCCCCGAAAAACUGUAAUAAUAAUAACAAUACGACUCGGGAUGUUUUCUCGGCGAAGGUUUCGGAAAAAAUCAGCUCGUAUUGUACCGAAACGAUAGUUUCGGUAUCGACGGAAAAUGUACAUAUAAAUAUUAAUAAUUUUAUUACAAUAUUGUAUACACAUAUAUAGGGGGUUGCCGCGAUGGAGACAGCCGACGAAAGUCAAAAGUUCAAACGCGAGUUUCCAUGAUAUUAUGUAUAAUACUAAUAAAAGCAAAAAGACUCGAAAGCGCAAUACGACGGGACCGAAAGUCGUGUGUUUUUGUUUUGUAUUUGUAUGCACACAGGGCGAUUUUUUCUAUCGCUGUACAUUCAUUACUUUGAAAACUAUUGAUUUUUUCCGAAAAGAAAUCAUUUUGAAAUUUAAUAAUCAAACAGCUUGACAAAUGUUACGAUACCAUUGUUUUUUGAUUUAACUACAUUUUCGGGGGUGAAUCGACAACUUACUUUUGAUUUUUCAAUGGUCACUUAUAUACUAAAAAAAUUCAUAAAUAGACGGAUUAUUAUUUGUAAUUUUUUCGUUGAAAUAUUUGAUUUUUGUCAAUCCGUUUACGAAAUAUGUACCACUUUUAAGUUUGGGCAAGGAGAGAGUAGUGGAGCAUUAUACAUAACGGUAAUAUACAAUUUUAAAGCCACCUGUUUCUUAAAUUGUCAAGAAUUUUUUUUAAAAUUUAACACUUCGAAAUAAUAAUGAGUGUUGAAAGAUAAAAAAAAUCACUCUGUAUACAUAAUUUUACGGUGUAGAAUUUUCGAAAUUCAAUAUCGCGUAUAUUUUCUUUCCAAAUAAUACAUCAUUAACUCCGAACCAUACGAACGCCGUCGUUCGUAGUCUCGCGUUUGCCUGUCGAGUUUUAUAAUAUUUUUGCUUUCUCGACACCAAAAACGAAUACAUAAUACGACUCGUCAAUAAUAUCUGCACUAUAAUAGUAGUAUAAUAAUACUACUGCCAAUUCCGCAAUAAAACUCGUAUAUUAUUAUGGGUACUAAAUAUUUUGUAUUCGAAUAGCGAUUGGGCCAGGGGUGACGUUACAAAAGUAUAUUAUUAACUAUAGUAUAGGUUUUUCCAAAAUAAAUUUACAAAACGUAUUUUAAACGUACAUAAAUUUUAUCGUCCAACACAUUCUAAAAUUUCAAUUUUUUUUUUUCAUGCAUACAAAUAAUGCCAAUAAAUACCAGCAUAAAGAAAAAAAAAUUUUAAUUUUGAAUGGGAAAAUGUUAAUGAAAUAAACGUGUAUUUUAUAACACUCCCAAGUAGCAGAACUUCGUCAUUAUAUACAGUGGUAUCCUCUUAUUUUCUUUUAUUGACAUAUUUUUUGUGCUAUACUUCCGCGAGAAAAAGACGAAAUUUGCAAUGCCGGCAGUUAAAAGUUGAAACUUCGUAGAAGGAUGCAAUUACAAAAUUUCAUCGGUUUGUUAAAUUCGAGAGAGGCUCUAUAUAUGGGUGAAUAAAGCUAGAUAAAUUUCCUCGUCUCGAUAAAAACUGCGGUGAUAUUUACGAGUGAAAUUAUUGCUUCGGUCGGGUUUUUAAAACAUCUGUAAUUUCUGAGUUCGGGAUCAUUUAAUUCGGAGGAACAAGUUAAAAGCGGGGAAAAGAUAAAUAUAUGUAUAACGGACGCAAUACGCAAAAAGUAUGUAGUCCAAUUAUUAUUUCCGGGGAAAAUUCCGCUGAAUAAAUAAAAAACAUUUUUGAAACACUCUCUCGAUAUAAGUAUAUAAUAUUAUCGCGAAUUAAUAUAAUUCGCAUAAAACAUCGCGUACGGUAUGAAAACAAAUAAUUUCCCGCAAUAAAAUACAUUUCUCGCGUACCAUAAGGAAAAAAAAAAAAAAAUCAAAAUUGUUUAUUUUCAUACUCGUUCGGAAAUGCUUUUGUAAUAUAUAUAUUUGGCCGGCCAGUAUAGGUAGUGACGGUGUUCCCAGCGGGCAGAUAAUACUAUGCUCGCGAGCUUAUCCUCUUUUUAAACCCUUAGACGAAAAAUAUUAUUUUAUUAUACCCGUUCGAUUUAUAUACAUUCGUAUAAAAAUGAAAUAAAAAAUAUAUAUUUUUUAUUUUACGACGAUGAUCCGUCGCGUAUUUGUAUACAUUUUUUUUUUGUUACGAGUUUAUUUUUGUACAGGUUUUUCAAACGUCUCUUGGGCGCUGGUAUGCAUAAACGGAAAGAGCAGUAAAGUACCUAUACACACAAAAUAUUUCCCGAAGAAACAAAAAUACCAAACUCAAAUUGCAUAAUAUAUGAACUGCAGUGACACUCGCAAUAGCUAUAGCAGUCGACAACAUAAGGUAGGUAGUAAACUUUUACUCGGUUAUGAUUUUGUUUUUUCGAUAUACGUUUCUUUUGUUAUCCUCGAACUUUCAAUUUUGUACGUAAUAGUUUUGUAUAAUACAUCAAAAGUUAUAAAAAAAAUAUCAAGUUCCGGAUUUUAUCGAUUGUAAUUUACAUAAUACAUGUUAUAUGAACAUCGGCAGAGCAGCGUUUAAAUAUUAUUAUAUUUUGUCCUUUUUUUAUUUUUUAGGUUGAUUUUUAAGAGUAAAAGCAUUUUAUUUUUACGGAUGUUCGAGGCGGGCUGACGUUAUAUUAUCAUAGUUCACGACUGCGAAUAUAAUAUUGUACGAAACGUUUCUGAUUUGUGCAGUUUUUUUUCCAAGAAAUUCAUAAAUAAUAUUACAUUGUUCACUG
Molecule: long non-coding RNA, 53033 nt
Filed under: Cinara cedri
Lineage: Eukaryota; Metazoa; Arthropoda; Insecta; Hemiptera; Aphididae
Source: RNAcentral